This 63424-nucleotide long non-coding RNA is filed under the name Brassica rapa (field mustard). RNAcentral describes it as "long non-coding RNA (BRAP_LNC006062)". The stretch from base 50255 to 50328 matches the Rfam family "tRNA". Lineage: Eukaryota; Viridiplantae; Streptophyta; Magnoliopsida; Brassicales; Brassicaceae. The record is from RNAcentral.
GCGCGGGAAAAAGGUUUGACCAACAUACCCACCAGUCAUGGCCCUACGGACAUUGGUCUCAAACAGCUUAGGGUUGUCCCUUAAAACUUGUGCUGCAUCAUGGUUCAAUGGAUCUUCAGAAUUUGGUUCCUGUGUGAAAAAAAAAAACACUCAGUUUAAGAGAAUCAGAUAAUAACACAAACACUAAGCCUGAUUGAUGUAUGAGGCUUACCGUGAAAAGAUGAAAGAGUCCAUAGAUAACAGUGUUGAUGUUAAGAACAGGUUUCCAGUCUUCACGUAAGAUGUUCAAGCACACAUUUCCUUCCAAAUCGAUAUUGGGAUGAUAAACCUAUAAAGAGAAAACAAAUAUAUAAUACUCCAAGUAGAAGAUAGAAACUAUAAGGUAGCCUACCUUGGUUUUGCAUUUAACUUUAGGAGCUUCAUGUGGAUACACAGGAGACACUUGGAACGUGAAAACAAAUGUACCAUUACUGCAUCAUUCACCAAGAAAUAAAGAAAUGAGUUUGUUCCAAGUGUAAGCAUGAGAUAUGUAAAAGACUCCACUUAACUGGUAGUAACCAUCAUCGGGUUUAAUGGAGACUUCAAAGUUCAUCAAAUCAUCUUUGCCAUUAGGGAAAGAUAUCGUACACGAGCUUGGAAGGUUCAACUCUGAUAUAUCUACACCAAAUCAAAAUUACCGAAAGAUUAAAACUUGAAGAAGAGAGAGACCAUUAGCAAUAAGAAAGAGAAAUAUAAAAGGGAAUAAUACCUUUGUGAAGACGAAGUUCACCAGCAGAUUGCUUCUUAACAGAAGCUCCUCCUCCUCUACUAGCGUUCUGAGCUUGUUCUCUUUGCUUUUCCUUUACUUUAAACAACCCAAUCAUUGCUUCUGCUUCUGAUGACCUCUUUAAGAAAGCUGUGACAAAUAAAGGAAUGAACAAUGAGUUGGAUUUGACCAAAAAAAAAAAAAAAAAAGAACAAUGAGUUGGUAAGAAAGCUAUUAGAAUUUCAGACAAUAGAUCGAAACACUUGAAGAUCCAGAAAGGAUUAGGCUUUAAUCUAGUUAAGAGCUCAAAGAUCGAAACUUUCCUACAUAAAGUCACAUAAUGAGUCGAAAAAGGAAAUACAAAUAAAAAACUGAAAUUUUCUACAUAAUGAAUAACGAGAGAAGCUUACAAGUUGAUAAUUUCGUUGAUCGGAACUAGUUACGACUGAAUCAAAAGCUCGCCGAAUCUCGUCCCCGGAAGCUAAACGACGAACAAGACUGACACAAUCGUUUAGCUUUUUCUCGACGCUGAGUUUAAAACGAAAUCUUUACACAACUCGGCCCAUUAAGAUCACUAGGCCCAUUAGAUAUGUUUUACCAAUAAGUUUGGUACUUUGCAUGUUAUUAUGUCUUCAAUUAUGAUUUUACAAAGCCUAAACACAUUUCAGAACUCACAAUUGUCCAAAGGGGAUAUGACGUUUCAUGCCAAUUAUAAAGUAUAAACCAAUUUAGAAUGAACUAUUCUUUUAUGACCUUCCCCACCAAAACGUUUCUUUCAGGUAUUUAAAAAACCUGAAAGAGUAAAAAAUACUGUUAAAGCACAAACAUGUGUAUUGUCGCCUCGUUGGGUUUUAAUAUUUUGUUCCGAUCAUUCUAGAGAUAGUAAUAUGCCUAUUCAAAUUUAAAAUCAAUAUUCAAAACUGUGACGUGUGUUCAACUUAUCACAUGGAAAAUUAUUGGAUAAAAUUUGACUCUAGUUAGUGGAUAUCAGUUAUACUUUAUUCUUCACAAGCUUAUAAAAUUAUAUACAAUUAACAUGAGUUGCUAACUAAUUAUAUUAGUAUUUAACUAAUUUUUUUAAAAGUUUUCAUACUAAAAUAUUUUAUUAAGAGAUUCAUAUUGGAUACAUAAUGUCUUCUUCUUAUAAUAUUUUUAUCCACAAAAGAAAAUUAAAAUAAAGAUUUUGGAUGAAAAAUAAACGUGACAAUAGUUCUAUUUUACAAAAUUUGCUAAACAAUGGAAGUGCAGAAGAAUAUGCUUUCUAAUAUAAUAAAACAUAUAUACAUCGUCAUCUCCAUCCCUAAACCCUUUAUAAUGCUUUACACUCUAGUAAUAAGUAAUAACCAACCCAACUCUUGUUUUACAAUUACAUAUUCUUAAGAAACCACAAUGGCUUCAAUGACUCUUGGUUCAUUGGUUCACCAUCACCAUCACCAUCAUCCAUCUCCUUGUUCUAUCUUUACCCGAUCUUCUUCCUUCAUGACUCUUAAACCCAUCGUCAUCAACUCAAAACGCACCGUUUCAUCAUCAUCUUCCUACAUCGUCUCCUCUUCCGUCGUCACAAAAGAGGACAACCACAAUUACAAAUCACCAUCCUUCGACUUCAUGUCUUACAUGGUACGUAAAGCCGAAACCAUCAACACAGCCUUGGACUUGGCCGUUCCUCUCCAAGAACCACUCAAGAUUCACGAAGCCAUGCGCUACUCCCUCCUCGCCGGAGGCAAGCGCAUCAGACCCCUUCUAUGCAUCGCCGCUUGCGAGCUCGUCGGAGGCGAAGCCCCCGUCGCUAUGCCGGCAGCUUGCGCCGUCGAAAUGCUCCACACCAUGUCGUUGAUCCACGACGACCUCCCGUGCAUCGAUAACGACGAUCUCCGCCGCGGGAAACCCACGAACCACAAAGUCUUCGGCGAAAACGUCGCCGUUUUAGCCGGAGACGCGCUUCUUCCCUUUGCCUUCGAGCAUCUAGUGACGGCCACGAGUCCCGAGGUCUCUCCGGUGAGACUGGUUCGAGCCGUGGGAGAGUUGGCUAAAGCCGUUGGCGUGGAAGGCGUUGCGGCUGGACAAGUGGCGGAUAUAAGCAGCGAAGGGUUAGACUCAAACGAAGUCGGAUUAGAGCAUCUGGAGUUUAUCCAUUUGCAUAAAACGGCGGCGUUGCUUGAAGCGUCUGCGGUGUUGGGUGGGAUCGUUGGAGGAGGGAGUGAAGAUGAGAUCGAGAAGCUGAGGCAGUACGCGAGGUGUGUUGGUUUGUUGUUUCAAGUGGUUGAUGAUAUCUUGGACGUCACGAAAUCGUCUCAAGAACUGGGGAAAACUGCUGGGAAAGAUUUGGUUGCUGAUAAACUAACGUAUCCGAAGAUUAUGGGUUUGGAGAAAUCGAGAGAGUUCGCUGAGAAGUUGUGUAGAGAUGCUCGUGAACAGCUUUUAGGGUUUGGUUCCGACAAGGUCGCUCCUUUGUUGGCUUUGGCUAAUUACAUUGCAAAUAGACAGAACUGAAGUGUGUUUUCUUCCUUACUUGUUGGAAUCAUUCGAGAUUUUAUUCUCUGGUCGUGUUUCAGAUUGAAUUGUAUAAAAUAUUGGAGAAGCUGAAACAACAGAUUCUUGUGCUUGUUGUUGUAAUCUCUAUGCUUCCGUGUAUUACAAGAUAGGAUAGUUAUGGGUUUAAUACUAUGAGAUCCAUGUUUGUAGGUUCUGACUAAAUCGUUUAGUCCAUUAGGAACCUUUUAAGGCCCAGAUUGUAGCACUGGGCUAUGAAAACCGAUUCAAUAUACGUUUUUAAUAGUUCUUGACCUUAAACAAUUUUUCUGAGAGUGAAUUUUGAGGUUUGGUGAUGAAACAGGCUGGCAAACUUAAGUGGUCAAGAUAAAUGACAGAACAUACACGUUGAUCUAGACAUGGACCACGAAUACCACAUGGGCGUGGCCCAUCCCAUGCCGGGGUUCCCACUUGAACCAAUUAAACUGAGAUGUGUUUUGCGUUUUCUCUGAUCGUUUUUAUAGAUGUGAAUUGUGAACUAGCAAGCCACAAGUACGAAUACUGAAUAAUACACUUAAUGAAUUUCAUCUGUACUUCUAAGAUAAAUCUUUUAUAUUUUAGUCAAAAACUUUCACAAUCAUCAACUUGAUAAUUCAUCAAAAUCAUUGCAAUAAGAGUUUUGGUACAAGGUUAUCUCAUGUAGGAAAAUAUCAUUGCAAAUUGUUACAAAACGGUCAAGAGAUCCAAAAAGCUAGAAAAAUGGUCCUAGCUAACUUUGGUCUUAUAUGAAUUUAGACAAGGCGAAAUUAUAUAAGGUCUAUUUUAGAUGCAAAAUAAAUGCAAAGAUAGUAUUGGGAAAUGGAGAGGCUCCAGACCAUGAGAAUGUUGGUCCCUUGGUCCUUCACACAUAAAAACAGUUUUGCUUCUUUUGUUUUUCUUGAUUUGAUGCCAUUUAUCUUCCAAGUAAGACAAACACUAUGGUAUCUUUUUAGCUUCUUUUUUUUUUCAUUCUCUUCCUUCUUUCUUCCUCAAGAAACACAUCAUGGCCAAGUCAAUCGUCAUUUUCUAUACAGUCUUACUUCGUUACAACUUACAUGUACUAUAUAGUCACAGUCAUGCCUGGCACAUGACUUAACUCGCUGAGAUGUUGAAACUUUAUACGUCAAAAUACAAAAGACCAAAAAUCAUUUUCCCUCUUUUUCGUUAAUUAUUAACGUUAAGAGGGGAGCUGGGUUUGAAUACACAUGGAGCAUUGUAUUUUUUCAUAUAACAGUCAUCGGUUUUUACUUAUGAUAUCUUUGUGAUAGAUAUACCUGAAUUUCAGUCUUUGUAUAUCAAUCCUAGUGUGUAUAUCAUAAAACUCUGACUGUUAUAACUGUCAAAAUUAUAGAUGCUCUCAGUUUUUAAUUUAAUAUUAGAAUUGUGUGCGGGUACUUAUUUUCACUUUUAUAUACAUAAAUAUUAUUUAAAUGUUUAUUAGUUAAUAUUUUAAAUAUUAUCAUAUUUUCAAAUGUUUUUAAGCACAAUAAUUAGAUAGUACAAAUGCUGUAAAAAAAUAUUGACACGUACGCCAUACUAAACCUUCGACAAAUAUUAACCCAUUGAUAUGUUUGAGUAAUAUUUCUUUUAACACGAAAUUGUUUCCCAAAUUUAAUAAUAUUUUAAAUAUUUUGAUUAGAUAUGAGCUAAAUUGCGAGAUUUAGAUACAUCAGAAAAGAAUAUUCAGUUAUAAACAUUAAAUAUUUUUUUACAUGUGAUUCAAUGAUAUUUAAAUCUUAAUAUACAUAUAUUUUAUUUUUAAAUAUAAUUUAUAGUAACUUAAAUGGUUAAAAAUAUAUUUUAGAAAAUAUUUUAUAUAUAUAUAUAUAUGUAUAUAUAUAUAUUUAGGUGAGAUUUAGAUAGAUUAAAAAUGAAUAUUAUGUUAUAAGCAAUAUAUAUUAUUCUACAUGUAAUUCAAACAUAUUUAAAUCUUAGAAUAGAUAUAUUUUAUUGUUGAAAAUAAUUAAUGUUAACCGUAAUAGUUAAACAUACAUUUCUGGAAUAUUCAAAAUACAUAUACUGUAUUUUAGGUCUUACAAUCUAAAUGCAUGGAGUUGAUAUGAUACUUGGAAAAUAUUACAUAAUAUUAUUAAAAAUCGUUUUUAAACUUAAAUUUUCCUAAAAUUUAGCUAAAUCAUUUUAGUAAAUAUGUUUAACACAAAGGGGGUGAUUGGUUGAGGUGUAACUGUAGAAAAUUUACUUUAAAAUUUAGUCUGUAUGAUUUUUUUAUUUAGCUUUAAGAGAUGUAUCUUUAAAAUUUCAUACAGCUAAAAAGAUGGAGCUUUAGAAAAUAAGACUUUUACAGCUAUUUUUUUUGCUGCAGCUUUAAUUUUUUGGUUGUACCUUUAAAAACUAAUAUAAAGCAUGAUUGAUGGUUUUAAGGCUGUAGAUAAAAAUUAAAUCUAAAGUCACUUGCUACAGCCCAACCAAUCACCUUCAAAGUUUUAGCUAAACUUGAUUUAGGAAAUGAUUUAAUAAAAUAGAAGAAAACAAUGAUUACUUAAAGUUAAGGUUAUUUAAUACUUCAAUGACAUUGACUUAUAAAUAAAUUGUAAAUUUAUGGUGAAUUUGUAUUUGUAAUUCUCUUUUAAUAAUAUAUAUAUAUAUACAAAAUCUUGAUUAGUAUAUAUAUAUAGUCUAGUAUAUAUUUAUAGUCUAGCAAAAAGUAACCAUACGAAUAAAGUGAACAACAGGGAAAUGUAGAGAGAGUCUCCUCUGUUUCGACUCGCGCUCCGACUCCUCCAUGGCGACUCCACCCUGCAUCUCCUCCAUCUCGACUCCGCCCUGCGUCUCCUCUGUCUCGACUCCGCCCUCCGUCUCAUCCGUUGUAAUUCCAACUCUGUCCUCUUCUUGAUCUGCCACCGUGUACGUCUCCACAUGUGCCACUUGAAACUCACUCUCCACCAAAACCAGCGGAUCCUCUCAUACCGUUCAAUCUCGUGCUUCUUCUCCUGUUUGACAUAGCUUUGUUAGUGCAGUGACGGCUGAGUUAUAGAAGCUGAAAAAAUAACUCCUCAAGGUGUCCAUGUACCAGUUGUGAAGUACUACAUGAAGUCGUACAAAAAGUGUAAGUGCUACGUGAAGUGAAGUGAAGAUGUGAAGUUGUGCAACUGACUUGGACUUGGAGCCGAUGUAGAGCUAAACUACAAGAUACUUGGAAGUUAAGUAAGGUAUGAUUUACCUUGGAAAAAAUAAAUCAUCAAAGGAAGAUUUCCAAAUGUCUUUGAAUAAGUUUUGGAAAUAUUCCAUAAAGGAAUAUUUGUGAAUAUCUCUUCCUUGAGAAGUUGGCAAGGGUAAGCCACAAAAUUUACAUGUAUAAGUAGACAUAGAGACAUGCCUUGGGAUAAGCACCCCCUCAAGAGAAGGCCGUAAGCAUAAGGGCUUUGGGGUUGAAUGAGAGUAGAGACAAAGCAUAAGGGCUAGGGGUCAUGAGGGGUUCAGAUGGGUUCUUGGGUUAGUUUGAUCUAGGAACGUGUUAGGCUAGUGUCUAUGUCUGGAGUGUGAAAUGUUAGUCAACUCGGAAGAGAGCUACUAAGGCACUUUAUCUAUGUAAAGAUAAACCUUCAUUAUUAUCCUGUUGUACUACUUUGUGAAAUAAAUAAAAGCAUUGUACUUGUAUGUAUUACUUUUUGUAACAGGCUCGUCUUGCACUUUCAAGCCUUUUCUCAACUGUUUUCAAAAACUCCUGAUUUGAAAUCCCCUUUGCUGAAUCUGGUACAUGUGUUCAGUGAUGGUGUUAUUUCUCUUGUGUAUGUUGAUGACACAAGUUUUGUCUCAAAGUGUUUGUCUCUUGCAGGAUGCAAUGUUUUCCUUUACUGGUGCGUUGAUUGGAUUCUUCGCCGAUUCUCAAUCAUUAAUUUCAUAUAUCCUCAUCUCCCGUUCAUUAUGCUUGUCAUUGUGUUUGUUGAUUCAACAAUGGGUUGCUCGAUCCCCAUCUCCAUCUCCGUCUCUCUUCCUCUUCCAUUAAUCCAAGUGUAUCUAAGAGAUUUUUUAACUAAAUAUUAAGUGAUGAGUUGAUAUCAUUGGUUUGGUAUCUUGAACUCUCCUUUGAUAUCUCUCUUUUUCUCUCCUUGGUGCGAUCCUUUACUGCAAUAUGCAGUCCUUUUUCUGCAGUAUGCAGUUCUAUCUUUGUGGUAUUUAAGUCUUUAUGUGCUCAGUGGUAGCUUAAUGGAUUGAUGCCUCACAUAUCCACUCAUCAUGUUAAUUGGAUUGUUUACUGUCUGGUUUCCGUUUUUAUGGAAUUUGUUCUUUCCCAAUUUUAUCAUAUACUUUAUGUGGCUCUGGUGUAGGGAAUGUAUUGUUGAAGAUUAGAGAUAAUUUUAACACUGAAGUUCUAAUCAAAGGUUUUGUAGCCAUGUUGAAGAUUGUUGAUUGUGCACUUGUUGCUGUUUCAAUCUUAGGAUUUAUAUCUUUGAUUGUGGUCUCUAAUUUCCAAGGCGCCAUCUAACUUUACAGUUCGAUGGCCGUUGAGAUUAGAAGACUUCUCGAUAUCAUUAGUUGUUUAAGUGUUUUGUAUGCCCCUAUCUUUUUAUCAUUCUAUAUUGUAUUUGCUUCCUUGUAAUAGCUGUUUGUUUAGUAUGGAUGACUUCGAUUUCAUGUACGUACACUUUCUCCAUUGAUGGAAAGUAAUUUUUUUAUAAAUAUAAGGUUUGAUAAAAAAAAAAGAGUAGCAAAAAAUACCUGACUUUAACAAAUGAAAAUAUGUUUAUAGUCUACUUUUAUUUUUGUUGUUAGAAAUCGGUAUUGUCUUGUUAUAGAUGUUCCAAUGGACCCAAAGUCUAGGCUCGUGAAAACUAGACCAGGUAAGAGUUAGUAUACUAAAGCCAUGUCACUUCGUAAUAGGUGAAAAACUGAAUUCAAACUGAAUAUAACUUCUAAGAAAUUGAGUUGGAUAACUAUACUUAUAAGAAGAUGACGAUUCUUUUUAGUCUAGUAAGGACCUUUGUGUAAUCCAUAAUAUAAAUAAAUAACGUUCACUUCUAUGACCAGUUUUGUUUAUAUGUCACAAGCAUCUACGCUCGUUGUCCCUAUCUACCAACUCAUGUGCUCUCGAGUAAACUUUUCCGUUCAGAAUGAUCCUAAUAUUUUCAGCCAAUGAAAGGGAAGAGUAUAGAAACAUUAAGGAAAAUGCCAAUUAAAUAAUUUCUCGUCGUUUUACUCUCAGUUUACAUUAAUACACGCAUCUAUAAUAAUUUUUGCUCGUGGAUAAAAUCUGAUCGGUUAGACCUUAGCACCAUUAGGUGAGGGAUCUCCUUAUUCAACAUGUUUAUUAAAUGCCCUCAAAACUCAAUGUUUGAUCCUUAUAUAUAUUUCGUUUUAUUACUCCUACGUCAAAAUUAUUAUAACGUCCCGAUCGUCCAUGGCUAAUGGGCUAUUCGGCUCGUGGGUCCAUUCCGUCUGACGAGCGAUGCGUUAAUUUUUACAAGGCCCGACUCUUUUUUACUAAUCUUGCAAUCACCACUCGAUUUUCCCGCUCGAUUUUCCCGUGCUUUUGCCUCACUCGCACGACAUCGCGAAUCACUUCGCGAUAGGUCAUCCAUCCUUUCACUACUCCAGCCGUAACACACUUAACUUUGGAGUUCUAAACGGAUGUGUGACGAAAAAGGUAAGUUAACUUUGAUGACAUAGAUAGCCAAAUUAAUCCUCUUAAACUUUUCCAUAUAUCACAACUCGGAUUGUUACAAUUCACCUCUUCUCAAAGAACGCAACAUCCUCGUUGCUCCCCACGACAGGUCCCAAGGCGCCUUUCGAGUCAGAAUCGAAAUGGAUAACCAGCUAUGAUACCACUUAUAACGCCCCGACCGUUCACAGCUAAUGGGAUACCCACCUCCGCUCUCUCGGCCCGUGGGUCCCAUUCCGUCUAACGAGCAGUGCGUUAAAUUUUUUCCAAGGUCCGAAAGUCUUGUUUACUAACCCUGCAAUCACCACCCGACCUUUUCAUGUGUUUUGGCCUUACUCGUAUGAUAUCGCGAAUCACUUCCGGCCGCUAAGUCACCCAUCCUUUCACUACUGCAGCCUAAAUACACUUAACUCUGAAGUUUUAAAUGGAUGUGUGACGGAAAAAGUAAAUCAAUUUUGAUGACGUAGGUAACCAAAUCAAUCUUCUUAAACCUUUUUAUAUAUCAGAAUAUUACAAUUACUUUAUAUAGAAAUUGUGAUUUCUGUAACUAAUUAAUGUAUCCGCUCGUUCAUCCAAAAGGAGACGUAUAUUUGUUCAAGUCUUCAAACUAUAGAAAUCCUCUUAAGUUAUCUAUAACCCAAAAUCUCAGGACCAGCUCAUAAUAGUUAUAGUUUCCGGUUUUGUUCAUAUACACAUAUAUGUGUUUUUGUAUUGAAACCACAAACAAAUGCGCAAGUCAUAAAGGCAAACCUAAAUACAAGUUUUUAGCAAAAAAAAAAAAACCUAAAUACACGUAGUGAGCUUGUGGUCACACACCAUUAGACAAAAACACAAUGAAGUCGCAGAAUACCAGUGCUCAAAAGGCACUGAUAAAAACAAAAUAAAAAAGCGAGAAAAUUAUUACAAAAUCAGUUAAAUAAAAUAAAAAGAAAAGAUAAUAGAAAAUAAAAAUGAGAGGAACAACUAGAUUGACGCAAAAAGGACAAGAAAUGGAAUAAGAAGGGACCAUCACUGCCAUUUUCACAACCCCUUUGUUGCCUCGCUCUCCCAUUACUCAUGCAUGUAAAAAAUUCAAAUUUAUUUGUUUCUUUCUCAUCGACUUUAUUGUAUUUUUGAUUUUGUAAAAUAAUAAAAGUUCUUGGAAAGUCGAAACAUAGAGUUAGGAUGUAACGAAUAUAGACAAAAAUUUAACGAUGUUAAAACCGAUAUUAACGCAAACAUAUAACUCACGUUCAUUUUGGCAAAGACAACUCUAUCUAUAACCACCAUAUGUCAAAUCACAAACUUAUGAGGAAUAGCAUUAUCAUAUGACGUAGACUGAAUGACGGAUGGAUGGAUGAUAUGUUUUAAAAAAGAUUGAUGGAUGAGAAAUCAAAUGAUAUAUUGACAAGACAAUAAAUCAAACCUUUGAGGCUAUGAGCAUCUAUUAUGGGUCGUUGUAAAUGCUUUUAGUCAAGAAAAGCUUCUUUGGAUAUCUUUCAAUCAACAAAAAAUAAUAAGCUUAUUUCUAUAUUUCCUUUUUAAUGGUGGUUUUAUCUUCUAACUAUUAGCAAUUGCACACCAUCUGAUCAUAUCGAAACUUCAUGUUUAGGGAAAUCCCGAUUAGUUUCUUUUAACUGAUACAUUUUAUCUGAAAAUCAAUUUUUAAAAUGUUGUUAUAUCAUGUAAAUAUGGAACAUAUAACGCUAUAUAUUUACAUAAAAACACUUUAAUACAUGUAGUUUGGUAUACAUUCCAUUAUCAAGAAUUCGUAUACCAUCAGAAUUUCUUGUUCACAGAAAAAAAAGUGUAUAAAAUGUCUUGUGAGUUCUGAUUACAAAAAAAAAAAUAUUACAUAGUUAUAAGUCUUUGGCUUUCUUAUAGAAAACAAAAACGACUUUGUGAUGAAUGUUUAUGUGAGGUCGAGAAGCGAGAAACGUGUUAAAGAUGAAGAAAAUAAUAAAUAUUUUCAGGGUUAGAGACUUGACAUCAUUGAAGAUAUUAUAAAGCAGAUCAAUAGAAGAGAGCCAUUACCAGUUGGCUUUGGUGGGUAAAGAGUAUAAAUGCCUAAAGAAGAAGAUCCUCUCCACGUACACGUGCGAAAAAGGAGGUUCAGCACGCAACGGAUGGUUGUGCAUAAGUGUGAAAGGAGGGUGGGAUUCAUGUGAGAGACUCACCCGAUUAAACUCUUUUUCCUAAAGAGAACCAUAUUGAGUUAUAAGGGAAAAAAAUAAAAACGAAUUAAAAAGAGAAAUAUAUAUUGGUAGGAGGGAAGAAGGUUGAACUGUCAAUUGUUAUUCCAGGUUUACAAUUGGAAUUACAAAAAAAUGCAACUAAAAUUAAAACAGUCUCAUAAACAUUUAUUUAUUACUAGUGUUACAUGAAUACAAAAGGACCUUGUUAUAUAUAUUGUCUAACCUUGACAGCACACCAUGAAAUUUACCUCACAAAAGUGGCUAGGAUUAUCACAAUGUUUUAUUAACUAAAAAUGAAUCCAUUAGUUGCGUGGUAAUAUAACAUUAAUCUAUAAUGCUAGCUAGAUUCCAGCAUGGUGUCAUGUCACAAAAAAGUCUCAAUGUGUAAAUUAUAAAAGUGGACUUACAUUAUUACUUUCGACAUUUCCAUUAGUUAUUUAUCCCAUAUAACAUACGUUGUAAUGUCAAAUAUCUAUAUAACCGUAUAUGGGAUAUGCAUUUAAAUCUGAUAAUAAUAAAAAAAAUUAGGUAAGACGUACGUGAUACGAGAUAAGUCUUCAGUCGAAGAAAUGAAUCUCAAUAUCCUCACUCCCUAACUAAUGUAAAAUUAAGGUUAAUAUAUUUCUAAAAAGUUAAAACAAUCAAGUUGUUUGAUUUUAAAACAGUAACACAUGAUAUAUAAGAUGUUGAGCGUUAGUAAUAGUGCGCUCGUUCACACAUAUCGGUCUCAAGAAUUUGUCGUUAGUGCGCUCGUAUAAAAUUUUCAGACUAUUUUCGCUUGUUAAAAUCCUUUAUUCCAAUCUAAACGCUUAUCUCGAAAGGAAAAUAUCUACCUUUUUAUUUGGUUUAGAAUUUUUCAAUCGCCAAACCAUGAAAUGUACAUAUUUCCCCCUUUUAUACUAGUUUUUCUGCUGAUUUUCACUAUACUCUUAUCAAUUUUGCAUUAUUUCUAAGGAAUCUUUGAGAAAAAAAAUCCAUCUAUACAGUUUAAUGAAAUCAUUUUGUUAGUGUGCUGAAAACUUAUAUAAUUGUCUACUCCAUGUUACCACCUCUGACGUGAUCCUCUAUAUAUAUUGAGUUAACAUAAGAACCAAAAAAAACGCAGCCGGAUCGAUCUCAAAUUUGUUGAACCAAAAAUCAGCUAUGUGUCGAUUUCAUCGGUUUUCUAGAUUAUCCCCACACAAACCUAAUUGGCAUUGUGAGAACUUGACUUCUAAUCCUUCCUCUUACCUUCAACACGUGCCAAACAACACGUCCGGUGAGUGCGAACGUCCAUCUUUCAUUUUCUAUCCAAUGAGUAGAAAAUGUAGACGGAGUUUCAUCGUACUAGAACCUCAAGUAGCAAAACAAUUAUGCUUUCAAGAUCGAUGGUCCGGGUAAAAAAUUAGCUUGGAUAUUAGAUAGUUCUGAAUUAUUUUGCAUUUUCUUGCAUUGUUAUUUAAAAUUAGACCAUCCUAGUUUUGAAAAUUAUAUGUCUUACAUAAUUGAUCUAUGUAGGUUACGAGAUAAUAAACAUGCUAAUUAAUUAACUCACGGUCACUUCAAUGAAAAGCCGAUUGUAAGUGACUAACUUGUGGUUACAACUUAGAAUCAAUUGAUUAUGACACAAUCAUUUGUUUUGGUAUAGUGAUUAUCGUUUUAAAAGAAUCAUAAUCUCCGUAUAAGGAAAGUUAAUCUGAUUUUUCAUAAAAAUACAAACAAAAUGUCUGAAAGAAACCAGAAUACUAGUUUGUUAGGACUGAUUCACAAAGAACAUUUAUGGUAUUCCUAGGAAGGACUAAGGCUCACGCAUAUGUAUUAUAAGCUUAUUCUACACAUUUAAAAUAAAUAUGUAGCUUUUAAACUAUAUUGGUUUUUAGCUUUUUAUUGGGGAAGAUUGAUGUGAGGUCUAACCUAUGUAAUGUCAUCUGACGAUUGAUGAGCGACGCACCAACAAGGAUCAGUUUUGAAUGGACGUAAUUGACUCUAUCUGCGAGUUAACCCAGGGUAUCCAGAAAAAUGAUAGCGAGAGUAUUUGGAGAAUAUGGCAGUGUCUUAAAAUUUUUGCAUGAUUUUAGACAAACAACCACAUAGCAUAAAAAUUAAUAAACUAACCAGAAAAUAGUUAGAAUAUUUUCUAUAUUUCUACAAUAUAUGUUACUAUCUUUUUUAUAUAUGUAACAAUUAUAUUUUACUGUGUUUAUAUAAAAGUUCCAUUUAAUUGUAAUCCGAAUAUAUUUAAAUUACCUAAGACUAAAUUUUUGAGUUAUUUAAUUUGUUUUAUAUUCUAUCAUUUUGUAUUUAUAUCAAAUUUAUAAAGUAUAUCAAUUUGUAUUGACAAAUAUAAUAGUGUGAUUAGCAUAAUAUAUCUGUUUUGUAUACUAUACUAUUCUGUUUAACUAAUGACAAACUAUUUUGUAUAACAUUUUUUCUAAUACGUUAAAUUGCCCGUAUUUUUUUGAUGACAACAACAAAAACUAAAGAAGAAGAUUGGUGAGUUAAAAAAGAAGAAGAUUGGUGGGCUAAAAAGUAAGGCGGAGAAGAAAACAGAAUAGUGCCUUCUAUCUCUAUCAUAUUUUCUCUAUGUUUUAUUAUAUUUUUAAAGAAUUCCUGAAUAAACUCUUAGUAACAAAGAAAACAAGAAAAGGAGAGUCCAGAAAGAGAAAGCCAGAGAGAAAGAGAAAACGAUACCUAUACCUCUCUCUCUCUUUUUUUUUUCAGCAGCAAACUCCAAAGGUAUUCUCUUCUCAUCUGCUCUCUCUAUAUGGUUAUGUUCAUCAGUUAUAUAGUCUUAUAGAUGAUGUAUUUAGUUUUGAAAACAGCAUAAGACCUUGUUGACUCGCUCUUUGUCUUUCUUUCUUAGUUAUGUUUUGUAUUAUAUCAUGAAGAAGAAGAUUGAAUGAUUCACAUGGCAAUAACCAAAACUUCUCCUACUACUACUUGAAGACUCUUCACAAUAAUUCUAUGUCCCAAGAUUACCACCACCAUCAUCAUCAACAACACCAAGGAGGAAUCAUAAGCUUCUCUAAUGGAUUCGACCGAUUAGAUUCGACCAGCUUAACAACUCAGCAGAAGCAAGAACAUCAAAGAAUAAAAAUGGACGAGGAAUCUUCAGUCGCCGGAAGUGGGAUUCCGGUCUAUGAAACUGCCGGAAUACUAUCAGAUAUGUUUAACUUUCCCGGAAGCAGCGGUGCAGUAGGAGGAGGAGAUCUUGACCACGACCAAUCUUUCCGGUCAAAUAGACAGUUUCUUGAGAAGCAACAUCAUAAUAUUCCGGCGGAUUCAGCCGCCGCCAUGCAGUUAUUUUUAAUGAAUCCACCGCAACAACCACCGUCUCCGGCAUCUACAACCACCACAAGAAGCCACCACAACAAUUCUUCAACUCUUCACAUGUUACUACCAAAUCCAUCUCACCAACAAGGCUACACUAAUACUAUGUCUAUGCAUCAGAUUCCACAUCAGCAUCAUCACCAACAACUGACGUGGCAGUCUCCCUCAUCCUCCGACCAUCAUCAUCAUCACAACAGCCAAACCGGUGGACAAGGCUUGUCCCUAUCUCUCUCGUCGUCUUUAGAGGCUGCAGCAAAAGCGGAAGAGUAUAGAAAUAUAUACUAUGGAAACAGUUCUUCUAAUUCAAGAACUCUUCUUACUGACUACCCUCAACAUCAUCUCCGAUCAUCUCCGGUGGCUGCUGCGGCGUCUUCUUCUUCCGUAGGAGCGAUCAAUAUCAUUAGAAGCUCGAGGUACACGACGGCCGCUCAAGAGUUGUUGGAGGAGUUUUGUACCGUUGGAAGAGGAUUUUCUAAGAAAACCAAACUUAGGAACAGCUCAAACCCUAAUACUAGUGGUGGCGACGGUGGCAGUGGCUCUCCAUCGUCGGCCGGAGCAAUUAAGGAUCAGUCUCCUUUGUCGGCGUCUGAUCGGAUUGAGCAUCAAAGAAGAAAAGUUAAGCUACUCACCAUGCUUGAAGAGGUUUGUCUCCUUAAUUUAUUUAGUUUCAAUCUUGAUUUUUGACUUGGUCCUUUAAUGAUAGUAACACAUUUUACGUAUUUAGUCAAAUACUCAAUUGAUCCAAAAGUUAUUAUAACGAAGGGACAAGAAACGUGAUAUGACUUGAUUGAACUCUUUGUUUUGAAACGAUUAAUUUAUAAGAACUGGUCAUAACUUUGAUUAUUUUGCUAGAGUCUGAUUACGCAAUCCUAGCUACCAUCAUUUAUAUAAAAAAUAUAAAAAUUUAAACAACUUAUUCGUGUGGCAGUCGUAUUAUAAGUUAUAUUGAGGAAUAUAUUGAUGCUUAGCGUUUGGUAGAAUCGAUUAAUCAAAGAAAAAUCAUUACCAUAUAUUCUACUAUCUUCUAUGUCUAUUCCUUAACGUUACUUAAUUAUUUACCCAUUAUCUGAAUAGUUAUCUUUUUUAGUUGACUUAUUUUUCUCACUAUAAGUAUUUUAUUUUAUGCUUGGGCUGGGAUACGAAAACUUUGGAGUAUAUUCUGUUGUUUUCAAAUUUUAUUACUGUCUCAUCCUAACGUAACUAAUUAGUACUCUCAUUUGUUUUUUCAUCAUUAGUAUUCUUCUUGUAAAAAAAUCAUCAUUAGUAUUUUGAUCGAUGAAACUCGUACACAAAUAUACCUGCUCGUGAAAAGAUCUCUAAACUAUAUAUUAAUCACGUGAAAUAUAACACACAAGCUAUCAAUAACAUUGACUAAAAGGAAAAGCAAAUAUUAAAUAUGUAUGGAUUGUAUAAUGUAUAGUUUAAUUUUGUUGGCAGGUGGACCGACGGUACAACCAUUACUGUGAGCAAAUGCAGAUGGUCGUGAACUCUUUCGACAUAGUAAUGGGCCACGGUGCUGCGUUACCGUACACCGCUUUGGCUCAAAAGGCUAUGUCUAGGCAUUUUCGAUGCCUUAAAGAUGCGGUUGCGGCUCAACUUAGGCAGAGCUGUGAACUUCUUGGGGACAAGGAUGCAGCCGGAAUAUCUUCUUCCGGAUUAACUAAAGGCGAAACGCCGCGGUUGCGUUUGCUAGAACAGAGUUUGCGUCAGCAACGUGCGUUUCAUCAAAUGGGGAUGAUGGAACAAGAAGCGUGGCGGCCACAACGCGGUUUGCCUGAACGAUCCGUUAAUAUCCUUCGAGCUUGGCUCUUCGAGCAUUUUCUCCACCCGUAAGUAAAUUCUUUUAUUUCUUACCUUUGCCGUUAUUCCUUAACCCUUGUUAUAAAUCAUUUACGAUUGGUGUUAAAAAAAAAAAACUCAUUUACGAUGAAAAUAAAUUAAUUUUUAUAACAACUGAGCAAACGCAUUUAUUUCUUGUUAUUUCAUCAGUGAUUUCUUUAGAUCUAUGUCAGUGGAAUUUUGCUAUUUUUUUGUUAGUCAGAGUUAUCGAAAAAAUGGAAAUAAAGCAAAAGAGUAGUGUUUUUGUACUUUUUUACCUCUCUGUCAAUUGCUUUAUGAGUAAAAACAAAACAGAAAAGGAAAAAGAACUGGAUCUAUGCUAUGUAAUCAUCAGCUUUUCUUUUGUCUCUUAGAUUCUCACGCCCUUGUUAGUAAAAAGAAAGAGAAAGCCUGUACUUUUUCUUGCAUAUACUUUGAUUGUGUUGUAUACAGAGAAAAUAUAAAGAAGAUCAUUUAGAUUAUGUUUAGGGCAAAGAGAGAGUGAUGUCAUUUUCUGGUCUCUUUCUCAGGUAUCCAAGCGAUGCAGAUAAGCACCUCUUGGCUCGCCAGACUGGUUUAUCCAGAAAUCAGGUCAGUAUAAAAAUAUGAAUGUUAUAUAGAAAAUAUAUAUAGUAUAUGUCUAUUACAUAAGCAUAACACAGUGAAAUAAUUAUUUUCAUUAAGCAAAUACUAUACUAUGUUUUAAGUUCGUGCACAAAAAAAAACUAUGUUUCAAGCAAGCUAUCUUUCCAGGUAUCUUUCUUAACUAGAUAUACAAUUCAUGGAAUGGCCACAAUCUGGACUACUAAUGAAUUACCUUGUUAGUAAUACUCAUUCCGUUCCUAAAAUAUAGACUUUUUAAUAUUUUCACACAUAUUAAAAAAACACAUUAAACUACCAUAAUAAAUGUAUCGUUUUCUGUAAUUUUUAAUUUUCGAUAACUUUUAACUAAUAGUAAUUCAAUAAAAUCAAUUAAUUUUCUUGAAGUUUACAAAUUUUUCAUAAAAAACACAAAAAUACAUUUUUCUGAUUUAAACUUUUUUUCUAAAAAGUCUAUCAUUAAGAAACUGAGGGAGUAUGUCUUUAGAAUUUGUCAAAUUUUCUUCCACGUAUAAACAACUUCAUAUAUACAAAAAAUUAAACAUAUGAUUUUGUCAAACGUUUAUUUUAAAGUUAUAGACGAAAACAUAAAGAACAGUUUCCUUUGGGUUUAGAAUUUGUAAGAUGUUCGAUAGAAUAAAAUAACGUUUUCUCCCUAUAUAUGAACCUAACAUUUUAAACUUGUGAAUUCAAACACGGUCAAACAUUUAAGUUUGAAAUAAUCUAACUCUAUAUAUACUUAUAUAUAUAUAUAUGUACUAUCGUGAAGUUUUGUUUUGGUUAUACAUUGUGAAGUUCGUUUAUAUAAUUAGAACUAGAUAACACUUUAAUUAAUGGCCCAGAUUACCUAUACACGUAGAAUUUGACAUUUUAAUUAGCAUAUGCUUAAUAGUGUUUAGAAGUUAACCUCACAAAAGAAAGAUUGUUAUACCAAACUUUUCUCUUCAGGAAAGAAGCAACAUGCAUGAGUCUUGAGUACACUAACUAGUAGGAGUAACUAACUUGAGAUAGAUCUUUUGCAUGGGUUUUGUUUCUUUCCUUCGUUUGGUUUGAUACUCUACUUUUACCAAUCACACUGCAUGUGUUUUGCCUUCCACUCACUAUUAACAUUUCUUGGGAUUCGUUUCGUUACAAACAUAGAAGAGAGAGAGAGGAGAGAGAGCGAUAGACAUUAAAAACUGAAAAGGGACCAUUUUCCUCAAGUAGAUCAAAGUUUGCAGCUUUCAAGAAACCCUCAAUUUCUUGCAUACAUUAAAUAACAAAAUGACAAAUAAAAAGGAGUCCAUUAUUUCUUUCGUUAGAGUAACUGUUAUCAUUAACUUGGUGAAUAUUUUUUUGUCUUUUUAUUCAGGUGUCAAAUUGGUUCAUUAAUGCUAGGGUUCGAUUAUGGAAACCAAUGGUGGAAGAAAUGUAUCAACAAGAAUCAAAAGAAUUAGAAGAAAACGAACAAGAUCAAGAAACAAAAAACAGCAACAGCGACAAGAGCACAAAACCCAACAACGAUGAUAGCAACUUCACUCCAGUUCGGACCACUUCACAAACUUCAAUGACAGCUGCACAAUCAGCAACAACCGCACCCGACGCAGACGCAGCAGUAGCGACAGGCCACCGUCUAAGAUCAUCAUCCGACAUCAAUGCUUACGAAAACGACCCUUCCUCCUCCUAUACCAACGUCGCCGCAGUCUCUAGUUACGCUGGUUCAACCGCGUUUUCGGCGGUUGCUACGUGUCAGAAAGGUAUUGGAGGAUUUGAUGAUACUGACAUGGAUGGUGGUAAUGUUAUAAGGUUUGGGACAAACCCUACUGGUGACGUGUCACUCACGCUUGGUCUACGCCAUGUUAGCAAUAUGCCUGAUCAACGCUUCUUUCUGCGAUAGAGAGUUUCGUUUGGGGGGGUUGGUUUGAUUUUGUUACUACAUUUAUUUAGUUAAUGUAUAUUUUUUAUUUUUGUGUUCAAAAUAUAUUUAAACCCUCACAAGAAUACUUUAGAUCAUCCCUAUUUUCUUUUACUUCGUUUUCCUCUUGCAAACUAGAAGACAACCAUUUAACAUCAUAUUGUAAUUGUACAACACUACCACUUAUUGUUUUCUUUCAGUGGUUUGUUUGUCUAAUCACUAUCACUUACCAUACCAUCGGAUUAUUUUACAUAAUAUUAGGUUCGGAUCAUUUCUAGUUCGGGUCUCCUUUAGAUACUCAUUCAAAUUCAAAUCAUUUUUUGGGUUAUUAGAAACACCACAAAACGUUAUUUAAAUACUCAAAAAAAUUAAAUAAAAUUAGUACUUCCUCUGUUUCACAAAAAAAUAUGUUUUAGAAGAAGAAAAAUAUUUUUUAAAAUAAAAUUUUUAUAUUUAAUUCAUCUUUAUCAUCUAAUUAUAAUUAAUUGUAAGUUUAAAAAAACUACGUUCACCGAAUUUUUAUUAGUUUAGAAUUAUGAAAAUAUUUAAUUGUAAAAUAUGUAUUUAGUACCAAAAUUUAAUAUGUUUUGAAAAUCUUAAACAUACAUCAUUUUGAAUUGGAGGAAGUAUAUAACAUAUAAACUUAAACAGUGAGGCCCUUUCUCAAAAAAUAAAAAUAAAUAAAUAAAUAAACUUGAACCGUGAUUACAUCCUAACAUAAAAUAGAAUUGAAUAUUUUAAUUAUUUGUUUUGGUUUUAGAUAUUAAUUUGUAUUUUUUGGAUAUUUAUUGGAAUUUGGAUACAUGUUUUCCGAAUGUUUUUGGAUCUUUUUGUGAUAUUUUAGGUUUUUUUUUUGGGUUCGAGUCGAUCGGAUAACAGGAUGCAUUUGGAUAUUUUAUAUAGUGGAUCAAAUUCGUAUUUUCGGAUCCGAUGCAUAUUCGUAUUUCAAAUCCGUUUUUUUUUUCAGCUCUAGUCGCUGCGAUGCUUCCUCGAUCUUCCACGGAGAUGAUGGUGACGGGAACCAAAAACGUUAGUAGACCGAGCAAAAAUUUGGUAGUAAAAAGCCCAACCAAAUAUAUGAAAGGCUCAAAUAUGAUUCAAGACUGCGUGCUGUUUUCCCCCUCCUAUACCGGGAUUUUAGUCACGUCAUUGUCGGAGACUGCGAGUAAUAGAAAAGAAAACUCUUAAUGGCUGAAGCAACCCUCUUUUUCAAUACAAUUAAAACCAAAUACACAGUGAUGAAUAAUUUGUGAAUAAGAUCAAUUAUGUUAGUUAAGAAUUAAGAUCAAUCAAUAAAAAUCCAGUGCAUUUAACUUAACCAAUAUAGAUAAAAGAGGGUUGAUUUAACUUUACUAUAAUAGUUUCUGAUUAUGGCGCAAUGCUUUAGGUCUUUAGCCACCAUCCUAGGUCCUAACGAGACGAGUGGAAAGAAUGUAGCAAUCACUAUCCUGGAGAAUAACACAAAUACAUAUUAUUGGUUGUUCAUCCCAUGAACAUCUGGAGAUAUUCUACUCUCUCGUUAAAAAGGAUAAAGAUAAACAGUGAACUAAUACGAAAGAAUUUAGGAAAUAAGUAAAUAGUGGAUAUAAUUAACAUACUACUACGAAAAGGUUUUCUUUCGGAAAAGUGGAUAUUCAUAUUAUACACAUUUUUAAAGUGGACGUUUGGUAGAAGACUUUGGUCUGAUUGGUAAAAUGUAGCGUAAUAUUAAUUGUAUAACAUUUCUAAUGCAAAUUAUAAUGGUGAAAACUUUAUUACUCUAACUUACUCUUAAAAAAAUCAAAUCAAUUGGAAUUACAUUUUCCCUCAUUUACUCUUUACACUACAAGAAAUAGUUUAAUUUCUGACCUCUAAUUCUGUUAGAAAAUGGUUAAAAACACUUUAUUUUGACCAUUUUUUAAUCACAAUAGACCGUCAAAAAAACUCUGUAAAAAAUGAAUUUAGUCAGAAAAUGGUCAAUUUUUUUUUACCAUAUUAAGUCGACGGAAUUGUCGUCAAAAACAAGCAUCAGAAAGUGGUCAAAAUUAUUAAUUCAUUUUCUGAUAAAGUUCUGACCACUCUUUUAUGUUGAUUUUCCAAAAAAUUUGCAGAUUUUUUUUUAUUAUUUGAUUUUUUUAUCAGAUUAUUAAUUUAACAAAAUUAAAAUAACAAAAUUAUUAUUAAGUAUUGAAGUUUAGCAAGAUAAGAAUACAUAUUAAAAAAAAAAGAACUAACUCAUCUCAAGAAAAUAACUUUGAACUGGUUGUUCUCAAAUGUCAGACUCACUUGUUCACAAGAUACCAACAACUACUACUACCUGGAAACACAGCUCUCACUUUCUAUAUCACUCUAUCAUUACUUGCACACAUAGCCUUGUUUAACUUCUUUUGCAGCUGCUGUUUCCUUUGUACGAUGUUAAAUUCAGACUUUCUGGAAAUAUGCAGAGGAAAUAAUUUGUAUGUUAGAAAGUUGCAUCUUGAAUAUUAUUGUCGAAUAACCAACAAAAUAAAUCAUUCUUGAAUAAUUAUUACUGUUUUAAGAAAAGAGAAACAGACACAACAUUACUCCAUAUUUGAGCUAUGAUUGAUGUUUAAUGGAAUAUGGAGGAAAAAGGUGGAAUAUGUAGGAAAAAUAAAAACAAAAUAUAGAGUAAAAUUUUCCAUUAUGGUUAAUGUAAGGUAACAAAUUAGUCUAUUUUUAAUUUCUUUUGGCGUAAAUAGGUGAAAUUUUACCGGACUGAAAUUAAAGUGGAGUAACUCAACAUAAAUAUAUUUUACUCUACUCUUUGUGCUAGUAGUGCUUCCAGUGGCACUCUUAAUAAGAACAACCACAUUUUUUUCUCUUUGUUUCUCAUUUUAUUUUAUUUUUAGCUUGUUUUCACUUUUUAUAUUUUUCCAUUUUACUCUAAAAUUAUCAACCAAAGCCUAAUAGGGUAAAAUAGAGUAAAUGAGAGAGAAUAAAAAUAAAACAAUUGGUGUGACUCUGAUUUUUAUUUAGUGAAAAAGUAGAAAAAUAUAGUGAUAAAACAGAAAGAGAAAACAUGUUAGCCAGAAAGAGAGCGAAAAUUUAUUUCCAUUUUUUAACUGAUCAGUAAAAUGUAGUGGAAACUGGAGUAACAUUAUUUAGUCUAAACUUUUGCUCUAAAACAGCUAUCCAAUCAGAUUCUAUGUGUAAUAGCUAUUUAUUAGUUUUUUCUCUACUUUUUCUGGUUUUAUAUUGUUUUGUGUAGAGAUACUAGCAAAGCAAAAUGAUCGCGCGGGUAACAAAUUUGUUGGUUACAACCCAACUGCUUUCAUGUUGGUCCAAUUCACAUAGAACAUCAUUGGUUUAUAAUGCAUAUAUACAUAUAUGUAUAUAUGUAGUGGAAGAAAUAUUAUUAAAAAUAACUCAUGAAUUGCAAUGGAUUCGAUCUUGAUUAGGAAUCAUGUGAUAGCUAGUAAGAGUGAAACAGUUUAUUAAUAGUCACUUAUAAUCGUGUAUGCUAUAAUAUGUUUUAAACAUCUUGUCUUAGCUUCUUCCUUGGGUUUACAUUUUACAAGGUGGUUGUAGUCUUGUAGACGUUUAUAUAACUACAUAAAUAAUCAUAUAGUUGUUGAUGAACACACACAAAAAAAAAUUCUUGUCAUAUAUAUAGGAGUUAUUUUUCAUGGUUGUGUUUUUGUUCGUUUUGACCAAAUCUUUCGCAAUCUCUUAACUAUUAUAAUUGAAAUGAACGUAUUUACUAACUAAAACAUAUGGAAAGGUCACAAUAUGGUUUUAAGAACGUGUACAAUAUUAACAAAUCAUGAAAAGUUUGCAAUAGUUUGUUGCAAAAAUAUCGAGAUAUGGUUGUGUCGACCGACUCAUAUCUACUGCUUCAGUUAUGUCGGAUCCAAAAUUUGACUAUAACUAUUCACAGUAAAGGACACAAUAUGAUUUUUACAACGUGUGGAAUAAAAACAAAUCAUGAAAAUUUUGAAAUAAUUUGUGGCAAAUAUAUCGAGACAUGGUUGAUUCGACCGACUAUAUCCACUGCUUCAAUUAUGUCUGAUCUAAAAUUUGAUUAUAACAUUUUUCACAGUACUAUACGAAAUAAUAGUUGUAGAUCUUGGGAAACGUUAGGCAAAGAAUCUAAACAAAAACAAUAAAUGAUAAACAUCCAGAAGCUAAAUUUACGGGGUAAAGACAAGAAAACAAUACUAGUACUACAGAAAGCUUAGAUUAUUUCUUAAAAAUAAACAAUGCACAUUCAAACAGCUGGUGGAUUUGUAGAACGAAUCAACGAGUGUUUUGUUUUCUGUCAACCAAUGAGUCUUUAUAAUUAGUAAUAAAUGUUGAGGACAGUCGUAUUAAUAAACAAAAAGUUUCAUACAAAUCAUAAAUGGAUUGGCCAAUGGCUACAUCGUAGAUGACUGGAAGAUCGAACAAACAGCUGGACUUUUAGAAUUAAGAGGCUUUAAUAUCAAGGCCAUCUAUAAAACCGAUUAUGAAUUGUACUAAGACUGUUGAUAGAUAAAAAAAUUUUGUGGAGUAGAUAUACAAAAGGCGAAUAUCAAAGGUCAUCUGUACAACUCUUUAUCUAUUUCUGUUAAGAGUUGUACAAAAGGCAAAUAAAAUGGUCCCAAGCUUAUCAUGUAAUCAUGUUACACCGUUUACUAUUUUUUUUGUUUCUCAAUCCAGAUAGUCAUAUUUAAAAAUGAAGCUACAGAAAACAUAUUUCCAGUUUGAUCUUAUUUAUAUGGACAUAUGGGUCGGGUCAUACUUAUAAUAUUCAAAUGAGACGUUUUAAAUGCUAAAGAAUUUAACGUGAUAUAAAUUAGGUUGACAUGAAAUAAAUUAGAAAGAAAUCUAUAGUACAACCUGAAGAAAAUAGAUAAGAACGCAGCUUUCUUUAAUAGACACAAGAGUGGAGUGAUUAAAGAACCACAUGUAGGUGUAAUACUAUCACAUAUGCAUGUAUAUGUAUAUAUGUAUUUUGACUAUUUUGUGUAACCAUGCAUUUUAAUUUAUACUGCAAUCCAGUACCGCGUUACGAGAUAUUAUUGAAACCAGUCACAUGACAUGUAUAUCUCCGUAUAUCCAAAAGAUGACAUGAGAUUAUUGGAGUAUUGUUUACCAAAACAAUACUAAUCAUUUGAAUUUUAUUCGACAAAUGCCACAACCCAAUGAGAGAUGUACUACUAAGCACACUAACCCUAAAACAUAAAUAUUAUUAUUAUUAUUGAAUAAUUUAAUUAACAUAUAAAUGUAAAAAAAUAAACUAAAAAUAUUACGCGAAUUUCUAUUUUUUUUGGAGUAAUUUGUCUGUUGAUUUAUAAUCCUUUUUCUAUUUUAAUUGUAAGAAGAUCUCGUUGAUAUUAAAUUAUUAAUGAUGGUCUAACUACUAAAAUCCCAAAAUAGAAUUUUUCGAACAUGCUAAUUUGCAAAUUGCUUCUUAAUUAAAUGACUAAAAUACCCCAACUUAGUUACAACUAUCCACAAAUUUCAAAACUACCCUUCACUCUUCUAUCGUACUCAACUCAGCCGCGUAGCAUUUCCUCUUCCGGCCACUACUACUGCUACCACCACCACCGUCAACGUUUCUCCCUUUCCUCCUUACCCGACCUGAUCCCACCGUAUCAUCACCGGAGCCAACGUUAAGACGAUAUUUAUCAGAGACGACAACAUGAUCGAUACACUUCCGGCGACAACUUCCUCCACCACCACCACCGCUUCUCAUGAGAGCAGAGCUAGCUUUAACGGCCAAUGCAGCCAUCUCCUCCGCUUUAAGUGGCUCCCGAAGCCAACGAAGAGGAAGAGCGAAGUAUAUCUGACCAAGCUGAAGCUCCUCUUCGGCGCUAAUAGCUGAAACGGCGUCGUCGAAGUCCAUAUCGUCUGAGUUACAGAUAAAACACAUGGGAUACUUCUGCAAAACGUAUCCAACUUUCACAGGGUUCGCAAACUCCAUCAUCUUCCCGUCUUGCAAUAUCAGUUUUGCCGACGCAACUUGUGUCGACUCACUUGAACUGCAUAUACCCAUAUAUGUAAGUGUUAGUAUGAUUCUUGGUAACUUGUUGAGUUGACUCGUGAGUCGUGACUCGUUUUCCGGUGAAAGAAGGGAUUAUUGAGUGGAGAAAAUAAUGUGGAAAAGAAAGGGAGAUUUGUGUUAUAAAUAGACAAGAAGAGUUUGUGUUACAAAAAAUUGGAAGCCACGUAGGACAUUGUCGUGUUGUAGACCAGUAGAAGAGUGAUGACAGGCUGUAUAAGUGGUGGGGAGGAUGACAGCUUUGUGAUGUUUAGAUAUUACCCACUAUACUUACCAUGUCAGGAACUGAAACUUAACCACUAUGACUUUCUUCUCUUAUUUUCUCUUGUUCGAUUACGUUUCAAUCUUAAAUAGAACUGCUUUCGUGUAUAUAAAAAAGUACCUACUCUACACUAUGCUCUAUAUAAUUUCUAUCUAGUCUUUUAGCUUAUAGCAGUAACAGUCAUAUAAAUAUAUGUGUCUGUGUGUGUGUUUUACCUACUCUACACUACUCUACAAAAUCCAAGAUAAAAGAUAGUCGUUGUUUAAAGAAAAUAAGAGUAUAAGACCUCCUAUAUACAGAAGACAUGGAACGGUAAUUGCAAGAAAUCGUUGAACAAAGAUAUCUCGGUCAAUUAAAAAUACUUGUAGUAGCUUGUCUUACCACGAUAUCUUACUAAUGAAUAUGAGCACACUUGUUUUUUUUGUGAAUAUUAUGAUUUAUGAAUGUAUUUUGAACAGAUAAAAUUAUCAAUCUACUAACUUGGUGUCAACAUUAUUUAACAUCCUGCUUUAUGAUAAAGAAUAUUGAAGUGGUCACGACUUGAGCUAAAUAGAGUAAGUACUUUUUGCGGCCAUGGUAUUACGUAUACAUUGCAAGCAGACUUGUUUGCGGUUUUGGUUUUCGUUUACCAAGUUGCGUAAUGACUACUACUUUACCUUUAUAGUUUCUAUGUAGAGGCAUUUGCAUAAUCAAAAGUGAAGGUGGGAGUAAGGAAAGAAUAACAUAAUUAAAUAAAUAUCAAGUAGUUGUUUUAAAUUGAUUUUUUUUUUUGCUAAAUUAAAUUGAUUUUAUUGUGUUGAUAGAUGUCAGUAAUCGGUUUAACUUGAGUACAUAUCCACAUUAGCAAGAAACAAUAUAAAAAUUAAUUAACCAAUAUAACAGACCGUUAAUCGAUAAGAAAACAUCUUAUAUAAACUUAUUUUUCGAGUACAAGAGGGGUAAAACGAAGCUUAACAUUAGUUUUUUAUUUAGAAACAUAAAGCACAAGCUUAUCAUAUUUUAUUAAUGUGUGAGCUCGGUGAAAACAAGUUGUAUAGAUUUUAAACAUGAUUUUUGGGCAAUUAGAUAGUAAUAUUCCCCAUCUUAGGGUAUGACUGGUGACCAAAAAAGAAUGUUCGGGAAUAAAAUAGCAGGAAUGAAAAGGAAUCAACAAUCAUGUAUUUAUGUUUUAGAAAUAAGUUUACAUCUUAUAUAAACUUAAAAAUAAUGAUGGGGAAUAUUACUAUCUAAUUGCCCAAAAAUCAUGUUUACAUCUUAUAUAAACUUAUUUUUCGAGUACAAGAGGGAUAAAACGAAGCUUAACAUUAGUUUUUUGGUAGAAACAUAAAGCACAAGCUUAUCAUAUUUUAUUAAUGUGUGAGCUCGGUGAAAACAAGUUGUAUAGAUUUUAAACAUGAUUUUUGGGCAAUUAGAUAGUUCUCGGUUUUGUUAGUAGUAUCUCUUGGAAUCAACAAUUCAGUAAACUCGUAAAGUAACGAAUGGAUUAUUAUCAUACAAAAACUUAUAGUCUAAUUAAGCUGAUUAAACCAUUGAUGAUAAUGUCACUGCGCAAUCUUUGUCUAUUGAACUUCUAUGUCUCAUGUUUCUUCUAGGUUAGGUUAACUUCGUCCUAAAUCAUAAGAUUUUUUAUUUGUCACCAGAAAAGUAGUGUUCCAUUUUUCGGUUUUUAUGAAAUUUGUCGGGUUUGGUUUACGUAUAGGUUUUAUACCACAAAAAAAUAAAUCAUAGUAAUAUAUUUAAGUUGUCCAAAAAGUAAUAAAGAUAUAAAUACAUGUAGAAGGAGGUGUGGCCUUAGCUGAGUGCUGAUAGUCCACGGAACAUAACUAGGGAGUAGGGAGAUAGUAAGAAAGAAGUGUAAUGAGAACGACGUGGCUUAAUAUGCUUACAGCCACGUGUCACACUAUGGAGCCAUAACGGUUCCAUAAGAAUCCGACAAUUUAUUGGAGUUGGCGUAAACUUGUUUAGGUUCCUGGUUGCCUAUUGACAUGACUCGUUACUGUUUCUGCUUGAUGAUAUGAUUUUAUGUACAACAAGUUUAAAUAAGAUCGUUAUGUAUGGUUUGGACUUCAGAAUCAUGUGCACUAUUCAACUUCUUUUAUAUUUUAAGUGAAAAUUUAGAUUUUGGGUCGGGUCGGUCAAUAUGUGGUUAAUUGUCAACUUUCACAACGAUGCCAACCAGGCAACCAGCAAUUAAGUUGUGUUUAGCUAAAACUAUUAUUUUCAUGUGUUUUUUGGGUCAAACGACGGCUCUAGUUUUUGUAACUAUAAUAAAUGCAAUUUGAUUACGGACUAAUAAUCGUCGUUACAGGCUGAAAUCGGUCAGCUGAACUCUUACGGUUGAUAUAAACUAUGGAAAUUAUGCUCAAUAUGCAUGCCUUGUACGACAAGUUGAAGUAGUUUUGUAGUAAAAAUCCACCGAAUGCUAUUCGUUCGCUAUUUAUUGAUAUUAUCCUUCUUAGUAUAGUUUUCCAUUUUAUUUUUGAUAUAUGUCUUACCAUUAAUCCGGUUGAUAUCAAUGUAUUGUCAUCAUCCAACCAAUAUUCGGUCUGAAUUUUAUCAUUGAUUUCUCUGGUAAUCGUAAUUGACAGAUCUUAUCGGAUUAGGUUAGUUUUUCAAGAGCUUGUUUUUGCAUUUUUGAUGCAAUGUACUAUAUCAACUGUUAUACUAUUGUAUUUUGAUAGACAAUAUUAAAUAAAAGAAACCUUAGACGAAAAAUGAUACACGAGAUAAAUCUCUUUUUUGUCAAUUGUACUCAAGAUAAAUCUAAGUACUAUUUAUAUCAUAUAUAUUUUGAUAAAAGGAUACUCAGAUUGUAAGAGCAUCCCCAUUAUUGAGGGUUCAUGGGAGGAGUUCACACAAAAAUCAAGAAAAAAUAAUAAUAAAAUAAUUCAAUCCCAUGAACCCCUCUCUCCUAAAGUUCUCUUGGCUGAACCCCUCUCUCCUAAAGUUCAUCACUGUAGCACGGGCCCCACGUGUCGUGGCGGCCCGCGAUUGGUCUAAUUUUUUUUUUUUUUUUUUUUUUUAAACCAAAAAGAAAAAGAAAAAAAAAUUAAUAAUAAAAAACUGAAAAGAUGAACCCCAAGAGGGGGUUCAUUGAUGUGGAUGCUCUAAAGAUAAGUUUGAUAGAGUAUAUUAAUAUUGUGUACGAGCUAGAUUAGAGACAAAUCAAUUGAGGUAAAUUAUUUUCAGCUAUAACUUUUUUAUAACUUUUAUUAGCCAUACAAAUAAUUUAGUUUUCUUAAAAUUUAUAUGUUUACAACUCUAUACGAAUAAGAAGAGAAAACUGAAAAAUAAAUGUAAUUCUAUUUAGCAUACUAUCUCUCUUGCUCAUUCAAAAAUGGCCAGAUGUAUAUUGUCAAAUAUUAAGUCAUCUAAGAGCAUCUCUAAAAUAGAGAUUGCUAUUUUCUCCUCUAUUUAUAGAGGAAAAAAUAGCAUUCUUCUAUAUUUUGCUCUAUAUGUAGAGAUCUCUAUUUUAGAGAAAUACAUUGGAGUAAAACUCACCUCUAUUAUAGAGUUCCUCUAUUUUAGAGGUAAAAAUAGAGAAAUACAUGGGAGAUGGUCUAAGCGAUGUGAUUAAGCUGGACUGUAGAACUCGAAGUAAUGCUAGUUAGUCGCAAUACACUCAUAAUCUGCGUUUUAUAUUUCUUUUGUACACAAUAAUGUCUUUGUUCUCUUUUAUAGAUACUUGCGUCGUAAUUACGUGUGAUUGUUUUUAUUUUGUGUAUAUAAUUUAAAAUAAACAUGUGUUCGCAAAAAUGUUUGUAUAUGUAGAAGAAAGAGGAACGUCACAUGCUCCAUGCUUUUGUGUGAAGCUUCAUGGAUGCUCUGCUCUCACCGUCUCAGCCCAUAAAAUGAGAAGAUUGAACCAAUCAUCACCUCUUUGGCUCACAGCGAAAGAACGCUUUAUUGGACUUCCAAAACCUUUUCUUAUAAUAUCGUUUUACAUCAGUAUAUUAAACCAUCAAAUUACACAUAUAUCAUUAGAGAGGCAGUAUUAUAUUUGAUUCGUUAUAGCCUUAUAGGUGUUACCAGUUGUGAAUUAAAGAUGGUUUGUUUUUUUGUUGCCUCCUUAUAAUAGUUCUAAAGUUUUCAGUAGAAAAGAGUUUUAGUCCCGUUUGCAAAUUUUACGUGCUAUAAGUAUGUCAUUUCGUAGCUAUGUUAUGAAUUUGGCUAAGAUUCAAUUUAUUCAGAGAUUUUAAUACUUUUAUAUGGGUCGAAAACGUGAAAAAUCCCGUUUAACAUGUCCAUAUGUACCCUUUUUGUUGUAUUUGAGCAGAUUACAAAUUAUUUCUCGAAUUUGUAUUCACAUCAGAAUAAUUAAUCAUCUUAAUAAAUUUAGUCAAAACCAAGUAGCACUCAUGGCGCGUCCCUGCAUUUCAGAUUAUCCAGUUCAAAUUCUCCAGGUAACACACGUGAUACAGAGAACUUAAUAUAUUUAGCAAUACUUAGCAACAUUUUCCUAAUCUGACCACGCAAACAUGAAUAAUUAAGUAGAAUCUACACACUUGAGAAUUAUACUGGAAUAUGCAGUUCUUCGAUUACACCCGCCCAAAUACGACGUAAAUAUAUUGUACACCAUAAUAAUUUUUGUAAUCAAUAUGAACAUCACAGAAAUGUCAAAAAAACUUCACGGAAAUUUUGUUCCAACAAUAUAUUUUUGGGACGUCUAACAUACAUAACCAUUAGACUGGACUAUAAUAACUAUCAGUUGCAUUUUAAAACAUGGUGUUAACUAACUAAUAUCAACAUAUUUUGGUAGAUUAGUAGAUUAUGGAUCAUAAUUUAUGCUAGACAGUGUUUUUUUCUUUGAGACAUUUACUUAACUACUUAUUAAUGAAAUACUCUCCACAUUAUUCUGUUUGUGUAAUUGUUAUUCUUUUUCCAUCAACAAAGAAUGAUCAAAGUUAAUUUGUACUUUUGAUAAACGGGAGAAAUAAAAAAAUGACGAAGAGAACAAAAACAAACGGUUUAACUAAACAUCACUUGGUGUUGAUCUGAAAGAGUUCAAGUUUUGGUAUCAUAAAAAGGAAAUAUAUUUCAACAAAAAAAGGAAAUAUAUAUACUAAUUAACUGAAAAUCUUGAUCUUGGUCUUGAUAUGAAAGUGUUAAUUAGCUAUUCCAAUUUAUUUAAAAGAUGGAACAAGCAAAAACACCAAGCGACAAAACGACAUGGACUCAAGUACUUGGGGGAAAAUAUUCAUAUGCUCAAAUCUUAAUUUUUUUGUAUUGUUAAUAAAGCUAGAAGAAAUGAUUCAUACGAUAUGGAAUAUGAUUGUCUUGGGUCGUGUUUAUUAUUUUUUGACCCAAUAGUGGGACUCCUUUUUGUCCAAAAAUUUCUUGUUUUGUUCUUUAGAUUCAUUGAAAAAAACUCAUACUUGUCAUUACGAUGAAGCUUCCCAUCUUAUAACUUUCAUAUAAAUUUAGAAUCAAAAGUUUCAUCAUCAUGCAAGGUUGUCUUGGCCCUCAAUCUUUAAUUAGUUAUUAUCGCUUAAGAAUCCUUCAUGAUAAUGGGUCAUAAUAAAAGGUAUCAGCUAUUAUUGUUUCGGUCUUGAUUUUGCUGAACAUUAUAUUCAUAUAUCAAUGAUUUGUGAUAUAUAAAGUUUAGAGUAUUUUACAAUAGAGUACUUGUUCAAUGUUAGAUUCUUAGCAAAAAAAAAAAGAAUAAUUGUGUACAAGAUUCCAAUGGCUUUGUGUAAGUAGAUUUUGCUAUGAUCAUCAGGUUUAAAUGGUAACGAUAUGCAUUAUUAUGGCUAAUAUAUACUAUAUAUGAUUGAUGAUUGAGGAGUUCAAAUUUAUUAAGACUUAUCCUUUGUAAAACUACUAAACCUUAAUAUUAUUUAAAACUUCCUUUAAUGUGAUUUUAAUUUAAAAAAAAACAAAUAAACUUUUAUUCAUGUACGUUUUGAUUUGAGUAUCUAAGAAAAUCUGUAGGAACUUACGUACGGAGCAGAUGAAUCUAUACGUGCAUGUACUUGAACGAGCCGGUGCCUUUUAUUAAUGAACUAGGUAACAACCCGUAAAAUGUCAUUAUUAGUUUCGUUAUUUUUUAAUAAAAAAAUAUUAAUCUGUUUAAUCUGGAUAUCAAUUCAGUUUUAGGUUGUUUUUUUUUUGUUUUUAAUCUCCUAAAAUAUAACUAUCAUUUUAAAUCAAUAUUUAUUUAGUUUAUUCGGUUAAAAUGUUUGAUGUUUUUGGUUUUUUUUUUUCUGAUAAUCAAAAUUACUAUUAUUUGUUUAUUUUCAUUUUAUGAAUCUUAGAUAGUCGUGAUGUUGAACCAAUGGUUAUAUAUUAUAGUUUCUAAAUGGAUAAUGCUUAAAAAAAGAAAAGAAAAUUAUUAAGACAAAUCAUACUACAAUUUCGUCGAUAGUGAAAGAAGCAUUAAGAAAAUAAUAUUAUAACUUCCAAAAAAAUUAGAUAUUUUAUUUGUGGUAAAUACUUAGUUAUAAGGUGUUCACGUCAAUGUGCAUAUGUAUGUGUAUGUGAAAGUAUAUAAAGAUGGUUGAUAAAUAUAUAAAGAUAAUGUUAAUUAAUAUUAAAUGAUAUUUUUUUCAAAAUAAUAUAUGAAAAAUAAAUUCUUGAAAUGAAAUUAUUUUAAAACAAAAAUAUUGUAAAAUUUAUAUAAACUAUAAUAUGUAACUUAUAUAUAAUUCUUUAAAUAUAUGUAUAUAUAUAUGCAUAUAACUGAUCAAAUUUAAUAUCCGUUCCUAUAAAUAUUGAUAUUUGUGAUUUGUUUUUUUUUACGGAUAUUGCAUUUUAGUAUUUUUGAUUUGCUUCAUAUAGUAAUGGAUAUCCAAAUUUUUUGGUUCGAAUCAAAACGGAUAACGAAUCGAAUCAAAAUUUAUGAAUAAUUUGUCCAGCUAUAUUCGUAAACAGUAAAAAUAACGUAAAGAGGAACCAUGCAUGUGAAUUUUAUAUUAAAAAAAAACGUAAAGUACAUAGUGUGAACGUAUUUAUGUAGAGUUUGACUAAGAAGUUUUCUACAUGUGACAUGCGUCUAUUUUAGUGUGUACGCAUUUAUUACAAUGCUUCUACACGUAACAUGUGUCCAGUUUAGUGCGAACGUAUUUAUUACAGUGUAUCUCCUUUAAUAUAUAAGGGAUACAAACGUUUUUAAUAUCCAUAAAUCGGUUCUCAUCUAUAAACAAAUGAAAUGUUAAAAAAUUCAUUAUCACUAAUCUAAUUAAUUGGAUUCAUCUGUAUGAAUGCAAAUACUUGUUCAAUUCCAGAUAUUUGCAUUCCAAAUGAGAUUUGAGACAGACACUUAGGAUUUUGGAUAUGGUUUAGAUCUAUAUGCGUCUCUCCCAUUUUUUAUGAGAAUUUACACUUACUCAAAAAAAAAAUACACUUACUCAUCUAAUAGUAUCGAGUUCAAAAAAAAAAUCAUCUAAUAGUAUCAUAGUUCAAUACUAUAUUUGUUGCUGUUAACUGGAACUGAUUUUUAUAUUAACUUUAAACAUGAACUAGAUUUUGACCCGCGCAUGAAAUCGGGAAUUAAUUAUUUUAAAUAUAAUUUAAAAAAUAUAAAUGCAUGUUAGUUAUUAAUAAGUUUGAGAAUUUUAUUCUCACAAAACAUACCAAAAAUUACAGGCUUUGUUCGGCCAAAUCUAGGUUAAAAUACCUACUAGAUAAAAAAAAUUGACCUAUGGGUCUUGUUUGGGGUCUAUGUCCUAUCCGAGAUCCCAUCAAAUAUUUGAAUUACCUGAAUUUUUUUGUAUACAUUAGUUAUAUGAUAUAUCUGAGUAUUAUAGUAUAUUUUAGUAUUAUAAAUAUUUUAGUAUGUUUCGGGGUAGGGUUUGCGGUUAUGGUUUUGAGUUUAGAAUAAAAUUUCAUAUUUUCAGAAAUAUAAUUUAGGUAUUUGGGUAAAUAUUUUGGUAGUUUCGAGUCCUUAAAUUAGGUUUUGGAUAAAAUUUUGGGUAUUUGAAUAUUUUAGGUAUUUUCGAGUUUCAGAUCCAUUUUGGAUCUUUUUCCAAUCUUAAAUAUUCAAAUAUACCAAAGCAUAUACUCGAAUACUCAAAUUAAAGUUUGCAUGUAGCUUUUUGAUUUUAAGAGCCACAAUUCGAUUAAAGGAAUAAUAUAGUUUGGUAUAUUGGGAUAAAUCAUGAAACAGGUUUAGAGAUGAUGAUAUUUUAGUAUAUUGGAUUUGUGCAUAUGUAUAAUUCUUUGGUCCACUUAGUCUACGUCUAAAAAGAUGAUUUAUAAACUUGGUUCACCGAAUUUAGUCGAGUAAUAAUUAAAAAUUAAGUUAGUUGAGUACUAAUUAAAAAAUGCUAGGAUUAAUUAUAUACAUUGAAUGUUAUAUAGUUAGAAAAAAUAUAAAGUAGGACUAAAAAAUAAUUACUUAAUAAAAGUGUGCAACAACUUCUUAUAAGUAGAUUUUUGGGAAUGAUUCUUUUUUAAUAGUAUAGAUAGAAAUUUUGUUUAAGCAAUUAAUUUAAAAUAUUUGGUUAUAUAGGCUUCGACCUAGCUAAUGGUUAUAUAAUUAUGAUAAUUUCGACAUGAUCUACUGUUUUGCGAUUUAAUUUGUAGUAAACGGAAUAAAAAUAUUUAAAUAAUAUGAUCUAUUCUUGAUAAAUAGGCUUCUGUGUGGACUCAUCAUAAUCGAAUUUGUUUUUUUUUUUAAUCUCAAAUUUGACUGCUCUCCUUCGAAGGUAGGCCUACUAGCUACAUGCAAUACGUCUAAUGUUCUUGCUUUAUUACUUUGAGAUUCCAUCACAAACUCAAUUACCAAAAUAAAAGAAAAUUAGAGUCUUAAGUUAAACAAGAAACAAAAGGAACCAGCAGUUUUUGCAUAAAUUGAGCCGAUAUUUAGAACACGCGGAACGAUUCUUUAUAGUGGAUACCAUUAUUAGAUAGCUAAGUUGGUGUAUAGACUAAAGCUUUAUCCUUUCAAUGGCUAAUGUGAUUAGGAUAUCUAUGUUUCUCAUAUGGUCCACGACAGAUAUUAUAGUGGGAGAAGUUAUUGCAGUAAAGCUAAUAUAAAGUUGUGGAAUGUAUUACAAUUCGAAUAGUUCUUGGAUUGUAUUUUGAUAGCAACCAAUCAUAAUGUAAUCUAUAUCCACUAUGUCUAUUACUAGCCACAACUGAUUUUUUUUUCUGGUAACACCUUUUCUUAACAAUUGGUUCAUUUGAAAAUACCUUUCUAAUCAUAUGAAUCAAUUGUGUUAAUCUCCUUUUGUUUGCGGGGACCUUUUGUUUGCGUCUUACAUUUGUGAUUACAAACAUUUUGAAGAAAAAAACACUACAAUAUUAUAAUUUCCUUUUUGAGUUAAUUUAUCCAUGCAAAAUAUAAUCACGAACGCAAAACGACGAUCGGAUGCUACGUGAUGUUACUUGCAGUAGCCUCAACGCAUUUUUGCUUUUUCUAUUAGCCAAUAGCCACCAACAUAACCCUUGUCCCUUGUUUUUUUUUUAAAAUUUAUUUAUUAAUCUACCCGAAGCUCGAGAAUUCGAAUACAAGCUUAAAUCGAACAAAACAAACUAAUUCAAACUUUGCAUGUUUAGCUUCGUUCAACCACCAUACCGGCACAUUCUGCUAAACCGCUACGCAAUCCUUAGAAUAUUAUUUUCCGUUCUCUACCGUUGAUGUAAAUCACUAAAGUUUGGCGUUCACCUUGUUGCUUCGGUUGCCGGUAACUCUUGUGACAUCGUCAGAGUAGUUGGGUCACGAUGAUCUCUUUAAACUUGCAAUCUACAUUGGCAUUAACGCCCUAGGCACCGAAGGUCGGGAAGUAGAGAGAUAGCAAACCUGUAGAGGAGCCAUCGAAACCUCACACCUCAAAACCCCACAAGCGCCAAACCGAACAAAACCGGGAUGAGAUGAGGCUGCAACUAGAGUCGGGAUCUUCGGUUCCUGCAAAAAACGAAGGGGUUAAUCUGCCACGACGACCAGGCAGCCACCACAGCACUGGGAUGACUAAUCCCCAACCAAGUCUCCUCGCCGAAAGCAAACCCGACUGACCCAAUCGAGCUUACAAAACGACGCCUUGUCCCUUGAGUCCCUUGUUAGUUGUUAGUUAGAAUUUAAAUAUUUUUGGUCAUCAACCAGAUUUGAAUAUUUGUUUUGUGUUUACUUAAUCUCUAGCCAAUGUAUUAUUUGGGCUCUCAGUGGUUUGUUCUUUGUUAGCCCACCCACCUCUGUUCUAAAACUUAGAAGUCAAGGUUAAUCAAUAGUAUAGUCUAAAAUGUUCAAGAUUUCAUUCAACACACCAAGCAACACACACAUACAAACCCAUAUAUCUUACACAUCACAACUGAAUCUUCUUUUGUUUAUUGAAGAUUUUCCCAAACACAAAUGCUGCUAAAACACAUUAACAAAUGAAACCAACACACAUAAUGUUGAAGGUGUUUCCGGGCCAAUGAGUAGGAGCGACUUAGAAGAUGUUGAAAAAGAUGGUCCAAACUGGGUAAACGAGGAGAGCGACGAUCCCAAUAGUAUUGGAGAGUCCAUGCUUCUGAGUUAAAGCGUUUCUGAAUCCAUCAGAAGCUUUAAUGUGUUCAUGGAAAAGGUAACAUGCUAUGAUAAGACAUAUCACUGCCCCAACCCAACUUUCUCUUACUGUCCCAGCUAUGAGGCUUGGUGCAACCACCAGAAGAAGGAUCAGUGCUGCUGGAAUCUCCAACCAAUCUACAUGUUUAAAUUGAUUGAGAAGGGCCGAAAGUAUUAGGAUGAAAUUCAAGCUAAUGAUAAAAGUGUGUGUUAUGGACUUACCUGGAAAGUGUUUAGGGCAGAAAAGCCUUAUUGUGAUCGAAAUGAGAGCAAUCCAUUUCCCAAAAUCUCCCCUGUGAAAGUAACGAUUUUAGUUGUUAGAUCUUGACAACAAUUCAGCAUAACAUCAUCAUGCUAAAGAUUACUUGUUCUCAGGAUAUUUGUCUUGGUCUCCCAAAUUUUAAAGAACUAACAUAUAUAUAUGCUUUAGGUUCUCAAACUGUUAUUUUUACUAAAAUUUAUUUUAAAUUGUUUUAUAGUAUUCUAAGACUUAGGGUCAGUCCUAUUGGUUCCUUUAUUACCUGAAGAAGUUGAAGAUAACGUAAGGAAGUGUGAGAAAGAUGUAUGGAACCAAAAGGGUAGUCAACAUUUUGGUUCUCCAGUUGGUCCGAUCCAAUAUCAACAGAUAACUGCCAAAACAAACGAUACAACAUCAGUACAAUAGUGAUCUCAAAACCACAGAGGUUAACGGUUUGGUUUCUUUUGUUUUGACUAACAUGGCUGAGAUUGAAGCGGCCCAUUGGAGGAAAGACGUGCCAAAGCUUAAACCGCCUAGCAUCGUUGCAUCUUUCACGAGCUUUUUCGCGGCGUCCACAAACUCAUUCAAAUCGGAAUUGAUCAGGUUCGCCGCGGUUUCCUCCUCAGUCUUCAUGGCCAAAUAAUCAACUCUUCCCAUAUUGAAGUCUUUUUUUUUGAAACUUUAAGUUUAAAAUCUCUCACAGAAUACAGUUUUGAGUUAUAAGUUGUGACAAUAGCAGAGUAUUUAUAAUUGCUCUGUUUCUUUGAAACUUUCAGAUAAAUGAUUAAAAAGUAUAUGUUUAGUUACAUUUCAUUGGUGACAACUGUGUUUGAGUUUCGGAUAUCUCUAGAGCUGCUCGUCACGUAGGCUUCGCUGGUGACACUGAUCGAUGGUGGCUCCCCCAAGGGUCGCUCGUUUUCAUAUACAGCUCAUCUUCAUAUCUCCACAUACAUAGCGAAAUUUUCUACUAAUCAUAUUAAAUUCCAUAUUUUAAUUCUACAAGUAACCAACAUUUUCAAUAUAAAAUACCCUAUAAUCCAUUAGUUUACUAAAUUAAUAAACUAAAAAGAUAUCAACAACUAAGCCAGUGAUUCGCAUAUCUCAGCUGAUAAUUAUUAUCAGACUUAGUGCUAAUGAGAUUUUGCUUUUGUAACUAAACAAAAAAACAGCAUACGAAGGAAAGGCUUUCAAGUUUCAACGAUUAAAAAGCGUUUAAAGUACGGACCCAAUUACAAUAUAAGAACUCGAGAAUCUAAGUCUUCAAGGAUCCAUGAGGGUACACACCAAACAUUUUUCUCAGUUUCUCUUCUGCUAAAGCAUAGUAAUAAACAUUUUUGUACUUUUUUCACUUCACGAUGAGUUGCCAUCUGCUUUGUUUGAAGACUCGGGAGCUAGCUUCUUCGAUGGACUUGACUCUGCAGAGGUUGCGUUCAUCAAAACACGCUUCACUCCUCUCCCAACAACACCCAAAUGAGUAACACCUGAUGAUGAUGCUGUUCCUCCUCCUGCUGCACCGGUGUGAGCAGUGGAGACUGUAGGCGACUCUAAGUCUUUCCCGUUGUUUGCGGUUCCCAUCCGAGAAGAGCUCAUCUCACCAGCAACAGCAGGAACAACCUUGUCCCCAGCAUUUGGCUUAGCUGAUGCCAUGCCCAUCAGCUCAGCAAGAAGUUGCUUUGGGUUCUCUGCCUGUUGUUUCAAGUCCUCAAGCUGCAUGGAAUGAAAAAUGACAUUAGUAUGGGUUUCUACAGUUUUUUUUUUGACAACCGAAUGGUAAAUUUCACUUGCCUUCUUUUCAAGGUCUUCUGCCAGACCAGAUAAGACUCCGAUCUCAGCUUCUUUGUCUGAAGCAGACUUAUCAAUGUAUGGAACAUUGGAUGAUUGUUGGAUUCCUUCCUCGAUCUCAGAGACAGUUGAGGAAGUUGCUGAAGCAGAUGGACCCUUGAUCUCAUUAGUGAGCCUCUCCAUCCUAGCUUUGCAGAUUAACAGAGCCUUUUGACAAUAUGGUAUCGCUUCCUUAGGCUGGCAUCCUGUCUCUAGACAGAUGCAUAUGCGGAAGUUUCUAAAACGUUCAAGUUAAGUUCACCACAAUGCACGGAAAAUUUAAAAAAAAGCAAGAUCAUAUAUCAAAGGAUACAGUUCGGCUGUGUGUCUACUGUCGGGUUCAACAAGUCGCUCUAGGAUGGACAGAGCAUUCUUGUAGUCACUCAGCGAAGUCUCGAUGUCCUCUACGUUAUAUUAAACAAUUCAAAAUCGUUAAUGAGAAAAUGGGACGUUACGACGAUGAAAUAGGAGAGAAAUUAACCUCUCUCCAGGGAAAUUUCAGCAAGGGUAGAGAGAAUAUCCACUUUCUCCAUUGUAUCAGUUGCCUGUUUGUCAGUAAUAGCUCUUGCGAUGUCAAGCAUUUUCCAGGCCAUAUCCAAAUCAGACUCGUCUUCAUCGGCAUCAGCAUCAGAUAGGUCAUCGUCUUGACUAUCUUCACCAGCCUCUCCUUGCUCUUGACCACCAGAACCUGAAAAAAAAAGGAGAGAGAGAGAAGCAAUGCUCAGAAACAUUUAAAGACACAAUCUUUUUAUAGACCAAUUUGAGAGAUAUAAUAAGACACUGUAACCAAAAAGUCUGCUUCAACAUAACAAAAACGAGUCCUUUGCUCCAUCAACCAAAGGUUAUAUUAUGUGACACCAAGAAACACCCAUUGCAUUUGAAUCCAUAAACAUAAGGGCAAAUCUAUAGAAGUAAGAAUUCCAAAGUUCCAGACUUUCAGUACCUUCUUGGCCACCACUUGAACUCCCCUGUCUCUCCGGGUCACUUGACACAACAGACGCAGCCAAAGUUUCACCAUUUGCAGUGUCCUUAUCGCUAGACUCCUGCUGAGUUUCACCUUCUUUCUUAGGCAUGUUACCAAGCGGAUCAGCUUCAGCCUGGGCCUUCUCCAGUAAAGCUGAUCCAUAUUUGUAAUAAGCAUUAACACACUCAGCAGCAAGCUCACCAUAAUGUGCAACCCUAAACACACAACAAGCAACGCAAAUGAAAGUUCCAUUAAGUAAAUUCUCAAAUCAAAUCUUCCAGGAAUGUGAAAAUGGAUACCUAAUCUCUAGGGCGCGGCUGAAGCAAUCAACAGCUUCGGCGAAAUCCAUCUCUUUCAAGAACACAGAGCCUUUCUCAGUGAGUUCAUCGGCGAACUCGAGCGUCUUCUCACGCUCCUCUUCGGAAACGACAUCAGUAACAGCACUCUCCGCCGCGUUGUUGUUGUUACAGGACGAUUCAGCGCCGCCUUGAGCAGCGGAUCCGACGGUGGCUUCGAUCGAGGCUUGGUUAGGUUCUAGGGUUUGCGCGAGUUCCGUCACGGAGGCUUCAGAUGCUGAUGCUGCUGCUUCGUCAACCAUAGCUGAGUGAAUUUGAAAAUGGGAGAAGAAAGGAGAGAAACGCGAAAUUGAUUCUAACCCUAAACCCACACUCUUCGUUCUUUUGGCGGACUUAGCAAAAUAGUCAGUCAAUGUCGUGAAGGUUUUGUAAAAUGACUCCACGAAGAAUGUGGAUGUUGAUGAAGGUGAAGAUGUGGCCCAACUCCAAGGCCCAUCAUAGAUAGUUUUCUGGAUGAACCGAAUCAAUUCAAAAUUAUAAUUUGAUUGGUACAGUUUCUAUCAAAACGAACCAAAAUUUGGUUUUUACUAAAGUGACAAAUAAGUUUUAGUAACCCGCCCUUAUGUUUAUUCAUGCCUUUGUAAUUUCGUCGGCUCUGAAAGGAUUGUGAUCUUUGCCGGCUUUUGGCUCCGUAAGAAAUGUGUUCCUUGCCAGCUUGUAUAAAAACUUUCAUGUAGUACUCCAGUUCAAGUUUAAUGAAAUUCACAGAUGAUAAAAAAACAUGAAUCUUUAUCACAUAAUUUUUUUCUGAUUAGUAAAUGUUUAUUGUAUUUCUUUUAAUUCAUUUGAAGUAGUCUAAAAUAAACUUUUACAAAGAGAGAUACUACCCACAGAUGAUGUAUUCAACUGCCUAAUAAAACUAUGAUUACACUAGUUUAAUAUCUUGAGAUUGUUUCAAAUUAGGAUGGUUUAACUCUUCAAAAUCCGCCUAGAAAUCCGUGUGAAUUAAAUAAAAUUUUAUUUUAGACGCAAUUUUAUCAUUAGGCAACUUACUAAUCAAAAGCCAGAAUCAUCAAAAUUUAGAACAUUGGUUAGAAAGGAAAUGUAAAUAAUUUGGAAUUAAACAACAAAGUUUCAAAUUAUGUAGACAUGUACAAUAUCUACCAUGUGGUCGUGGGCUAUAAUGCUUAAGACUAAUAACAAUGGGGUUGUUGAAUUAUUUUUUUAAUAGUAUUGAUGAUUACAAAAGGACUGUUGAAAAAAAAAAUGUUGAUUCAUUGUUGUUGAAAUUAUUCACUCGUUGAAUACUUACAAGUUGGAUUCAUUUUUACUUUUUUUUAAUCUCAUCUUAAAUAUUUAAGAUUAUUUUUUUUUUAUAUUCUCUUCGUUCCUAAAUGUAAGAUAUUUAGAAAUUUUUUUUUGUUCUAAUAUAUAAGAUGUUUUCAUAUUUUUAGAUAGUUUUAACUUCAUCAAAAUCUAUAUAACCAAUCAAAUUUAAUAGUUCUCAUUUUUAAUUGGUUGAAUUAUUUUUAAUUUAUAAUUUUAAUGAUAGCUUUUAUAUAAAAAAUAUUUUUUUUAAUAUACGUCUUAUAUUUAGGAACGGAAGGAGUAAUAAUUAUAUUUUUGUAAAAAAAUAUAUAUUAAAAUUUACCAUUUUGUGUUUUAUAAAAAAAUAUUAAUUCAUUUGAUUCAAAUACAGAAAAAAAAAUAUUUUUACUAAACAAAUAAUGGUGGGUUAGUAUGUUAAAUUUUGUUAAAUGAAAGUAUUGUAGAAUAGAAGGUGGAAAAAUGUUAAAUUAAUAGGCGGAAAGAAAAAUAUGAUGUGUAAUGUUUUUUUGUAACACAAAAUGUGUAAUGUUAAAAUGUGUAAGAUAAGGUGUUUAAUCAUUUUUUUAUUUUAUUUUUUUGUUUAUAUCACCUAACUAUGCAAAUCUCGUGGUUUCAAACUACAUUAAUAGAUUCAUAUCAGUGAGUCAGUUUUUCUAGAUAAUACAUAUCAAUAAUUCAAUAAAGAAAAUCUCGAAUCGCUAUCUUGUCAUUUUAAGGCAAAAAAAUAAUAUAUCUUCUAGUACGAUUUUAUGCAAUAAUAGAUUCUUUUUCAUUAUUGGUGUUAAAAAAAAGGAUUCUUUUCAUUACUAUUCUCAAAUUGGGUUAGAUUGGAGAAAACGAAGCAUUACAAAAGACAAAGGUUGUGAUUGUCUUCAUCCUCUGUUUGCCAAGGUAAUUAUCAAACAGAUUGAUAGAUUUACUUUCACAAGACUGAGAUUAACUAUUAAACAAAAAUUUUGAUUGAUCAGUUUCCUCCUAUGAAGUAUUAUGAUUGACAGUAUUAUGAUUUUGGAUGCAUCAUCACUAUGCAUAGUAUUAUGAUUUGAUCUUUCAAAGCUCAAAAUCCACCACUUGUCUCUUCUUAUCAGACUCACCUCUCCAGCUACGCCCAUCAGACUUCUCCUCCUCCUCAUCAUCCUCUGAGAUAUGACUACCAUUAUUAUUGAACAAACCUCUACCAACAAGCGGGCUUUGUGGAGAACCUGAUCUUGACAAACUUAUUAAGCUCUGUGUUUCCCUAGGCUGAUCCGAGGAUGACAAAGGAUGCUUACGGAUAUGCAUUCUAUAUUUCUGCAAUAGCAUAUCAUUCCACACACUAUCAAAAUCAUUCAUUCACACAUCAAAGUUUUGAGUUUGUUAAAGAACUUUUAUUUACUUGUAAAUGGCUCUUGACUUCAUCAUUGGUUAAACCAUCAACUUUCAUCUCAUCUCUAAUCUGCUUUGGUGUGGCCACUGGUAUCACAACAACAGCAUAAUCUCAGUAUAACCAAUUAAUGGAGAAUUGAGUUACAAAGUUGGUUCCUUUUUUUUUUGAUUAAGGACUAACCUUGUGACCCUCCAAUCCUACGAAGAGCAUCAACGAAUCUCCGGUGAAGAUCCUGUGACCAUCUCCUUCUCUGCUCUUUCUUCGGAAUGUGGUGAUGACUCUGUAAAGGUUUGUUGAAUUGAUGAUUCUGCUCAGUUCUGUUACAGUCCAUCAUCGGAGUCAUGAGAGGCAGAGGAGCUGGAGGAGGCUUAAAUGGCAGAAAUGCCCCUCCCUGAUUAAGGUUAUUACAUGUCUGAAAUGGAGUCUGAGUCACACACCGAUCUUCUUCUUUAUUUGUCUGUAAGAAAGAAUAAAAAAAAACAGAACAUGAUCAAAGGUUAAUUAAGAUCAGACAAAAACAUAAAAAGGUUUGAUUUUAAUUGUGAAUUACCGAGUUAGAGUUGGAGAUCCAUAACUGGGCAGAGCUCAUCCAGUUCUUCUUAUAAUCAUUUUCCAAUUUUGACCCUUGACCCACAUCCAAUUUACCAUUUGAUGCCAUCAUCACUGAUGAAGCCUCUUCCUUUAACCUCUCAAUCGCUACACAGAGGAAUCAUUUUGGUUAUACAAAAACACACAAACAAAAUUGAGAAUCGAGAGAGAAAGAGAGGCACCUACCUUCGUUCAAUAAGAGCAUGCAUAGAGGAAGCUCCCGUUUAAAAACAUCGAUUUUUUUCCUCUCUUCCUCCAAUUUUCCGACAUAAACAUCGAUCUCAGACAGCUUCGAAUGAUUGUCUUUGAUCCUCGACACUUCAUCGAGAAAUUGAGAUAAGGGUUUUGCAAUAGAGUACAUGGAAAGAUUCAAAUUAAGACUCAUCCUUCGAUCCUUAUCUGUCUGAACCAUCGAAAGCUAUAAAUACAGAGAAUGCUAAAAGACAAGGCGUUUAUAUAGAACAAGUGAGAUAACAAGAAGAAGAGAUUAGGGAAGAAGAAGAAGGACGCGGAGAAUUGUAACCGCUGUAAAUAAGUGGAAUCUCGAGGGCGUUUGUGUAAACUGCUUUAAUUAGAUUUGUCUUUAAAUGGAAUGAAGAAUCUUUUUGUGAUGGCCUAUACACACGCGGCGAAUCGUUACACUAACUUGUAUAUUUAUUCUCUUUUUAUUUAUUUAUUUUUGAUUCUUUUCCAAUUUUAAUAUCCAAUUUUAGGAAACUUAUUACUAUUUGAGUAUUCUCUAGUGCUUAUUGUUCAAGAUUCUCAUAUUCCUCUAUCUUGAAGUUAAUGUUUUCCAUUUUAGAAAAAGGAUUGUGAAAGAAUGUAUGGUGGUACUAUACUAUUUUAUGCAUAACCAAUAAGGUUGUACAAAUCUCACUGAAUAUAUGUUUUAUAAGAAAUAAUGGUAAAUGGAGUAUUAUAUAUAAUAUGUUGUACUUUGAUGAUUGACUUUAAAAAUUAGAUUCUUAGAGCAUCUCCAAUAUAUUACUUCAUAUUUUAUUCUAAAAUGGUGCAGCAGUAAAAUAGAGUAAAGUUUUACUCUAAUGUAUUACUCUAUUUUCUACUCUAAAAAUAAUAUAUUUUAUUAAAAAUUGUUAAUAAUACUGUAUAGUUAUACAAAGAUAAUAAUUAACCCCAACUAUUUUACGUUUACAAAAAUUAUUUAAAAUAUAAUUUAUUUAAAUUAAACAUUUAUUAUUAAAAAGUACAAGAAAUCAUAAAAAUAAAAUAAAAGACAAUAUAUAUGUUGGUUUAAUAAUGGCAUUAGAAUAUUUUUCUCACAAAUGAUCAACUAAUGCAUUUCGUAAUGAAACAUAGCUUCUUUAUCUUUGAUAUUCCUAAAUCGAACAAGAAAAUUUUGAAAGCAGACAUUUUCAUCUUCUGCAAUUUCGAUAUCUUGAUAUCUGGAGGUGGAGCUUCUCUUACAAGUUCAGUUGGUGCAUCGAAUUCACGCUCAUCCUCAAUUAUCAUGUUAUUUAAAAUUAUACAUGUAGUCAUGUAACACAUUUUUUUCCAAAACCGAACAGGUCUUUUUACAAUAGUGAAACAUAAUUGUAGAUCUUUUUAUGUUAUCUUUAUUUUAUAUUAUUAUUAUUUUUUAAUUAUAGUAUAUACUUUUAUGUAAAAUUAUUAAAUAAUGGAAUAUCUUGUUUAUUUAUGUUAUUGUAUCAUUUUAAAAUAUUAUUGAAGUAAAAAAAAUAAAAAUAUUAAAGAUUUAAAAGACCAUUUCAGAGAUAAAAAUUUCAACACCAAAAUGGAGUAAUCCUAGCCAUUACUCCAUUUUGGGGUUGAAAAUGGAAUAGGGUUGGAGAAGAUUUUACUCCAAAAUAAUGUUUGGAGUAGAAAGUAGAGUAGGUUUGAGAUGCCCUUAGAAACAAAACACUAGGUGUCAAGAUAUAUACAUGAUUGGGUGUAUAAUAUUAUAGAGAUUGAUUUGAACUUAUUUCUAUAUUAGUUUUUUAUAUAUAUAUAUAUAUAUAUAUAUAUUUAUUCUGAAAUAUAAGGAAAAAUAGCAGUCAUAUUAUCGAAUAUUAAUUUAAAUAUAAUUUAAAAUUUAAAAUAAUUAUCAUUAUCUUUAUAUCAUAAAAUUAUGUAAAUUUUGUAUUUUCAUAAAAUUUGCAUAUGCAAUUUUCACAUUUUUGAAAAUUAAUACAUAGCUUACAUAUCUUGUACCAUGCUCUAUAUAUAUUUUAAAAAUAAUUGCACCAUGCUAUAUAACGUGUACACUGUGCACUCUGCUACACAACUUAUGCAUCAUGUAGCAUGCUUAAGUAUCUUUUUUUUUUUUUAGAAAGCAUGCUAAGUAUCUUGACAUUAUGCAGUAUAUUAUGCAACUUACUAUGUCACAUACAUUUUUUUUAUAAACAGCUAUGUACGUAGUUUGCCAAUUAUAGAGACAUAGUCAACUAUAUACCAAAUAAACAAUGAUCAUAUAAAAGAUUUGUAACAGUUUUUACCAAAUUUUUUUUUUUGUAACAGCAAAGCCCUUUCUCAAAAAAAGAAAAAAAAAUUGUAACAGCAAAUUAUGAUUGAAUAGGAACUGAAUUACCGAACAUAAGAAAAAGGAAUUACUGAACAUAAAAAUUGUGUUUGUAAUAUCUAUCUCAAAUAUGGUGUGAGCAUCUCUAACCAUACUAUAUAAAUAUGGUGUGAGCAUCUCUAACCAUACUAUAUAUUUUCUGCAAAAUGAAGUCAGAAAUGAAAUAAUGAACAAAAAAUCAAACAUUAUUCCAUUUAUACUCAAACCUUGUUUUAAUGGAACAUAAUCACUCGUAUGUGGCGAUGAUACUGUCGAUUUUUUAAUUUAAAAAUCAUUGUAGAGAAACCCCCCCAAAAAAAAGGUUAAAAAAAGGUUAAAAUUCGGCAGUCUCGUUUACUAUACACCAUCCAUUUACAUUCACAUUAAGAUACAGUUUAAAGAAAUCACGUAACCAUUGAAAUUAUACUAUAACUUUAGAGUGCUUUUCAUGUGUUUGGUUGCUUAUCUUUUGCGCUUUGUUUGUCUAAAUUUCUUUAGUGGAUUAUAAGCAAGUGGACAUUUCAUAUGGAGACUCUUAAUCUCGACCCGCCGGACAUCCUAGUCAAUCAAAAAAAAAUAAUAACGGACUAUUUAUUCAAAGUAGAUUGUAUAUAUUGUAGUAUAUAUCGCAACAAGUCGCUGCAACACUAGCAAAUUAGCAAUUAGCAAAACAGAUCUUUCGUACAUUCCAUUGUAAAAGAUCCCACGUUGCAAAGCAACUUUAUUCAACCCUUUUUCCUGAUAGCCAAACACAAAUUUCUCCCAAUUUCAUAUAAUUUAGCUUUUACAAAUAAUGUUUUGAUUCCUGUAACCAAAAAUAUUCCGGAAUACUCCCUAUGACGUACCACAAAGGAAUCUAACGGACGGACAUAGAGAAACGGCUAGUACAGCCAACUAUGCUACAACACAUGUCCAACUAAUCUAGAAUUUUUCAAGAGAAUCGUUUUUCUUUGAAGGAGGAACUGAAACGUAUCGAGUUGUGAUAAUUAAGGACGUCGAGAGAUUGAUACCGUUGAUUGAUUAUAUUCUCUCUCGUGUCUUCUCGUCAUCACAUAUCCUUAACCUUUUGUUUUCGUUCUUCUCACCACUCCUUUUACAAAAAAAAAAAAACUUUGCAAAGUUCUUGCAAGGAUAUAGCUUUUGCUCUGUCUAUCUAAUUUGAGGAUAAGGUUCGUCGGUUUCUAGCUGCGAGAAUCCACUGGUAAUAAUUUUUUUUUGGUGAACAAUAAUCCAAUGAUUCGACUAUUAAUUCUCGUUUCAAUCUUCAAACUUCGGAAAAAUCAGAUUCAUAACAUUUGUCAUCAAUCUUUGAAUAUAAUAUACAUAUAUAUACACGGACUAAUUUGAUGAUGGUAUACGUCCCCUAAGUUUCACACUUAAAAUUUUAAUUCAAAACCAAAUACAUAUUAAGAAAAGUCAUUUUUGAUCUUGAACUGAAUCCAUGCAAAUCUUUUGACGUAUGAAAGUAAGUUAUUUUGGCCACAUUUAAAGCAGUGAUUGUAGCCGUCAGAAAAUUGAAAAUCAUAAUCCUAUAAACCAUAAGAUGAAUGCUUUAAGUACUGAUCAGUGAUCACCAUCAACUGGUUAAACAUCGUAAAAACGAAGAAGUUACAUUUGCUAGGCUAUUUUAUGAAAUGAAACAAUAAUAAGACAGAAUGAUUACAUAUAUGUUUAGUGUCUUAAUACUAUAUUCCGAAGAUAUUGUUGGUAAUUGGUAAACAAUCGAUAUAUGCAGUUUCAAAGAUUCUUUCAUUCUCUACAACUAAAAAGCUGAACGUUUUGGAUGGUCGUAGUUUUAUCAUGUAAAGGUGCUGUUUUCUUGUGAAAUACAAGGAACAAAGAGAAAGAGUGAUUCCAUUUUUAUAUAACAAAAAGACAAGAAGAUUCCAUUUUCAAAACAAAAAGAAACGUUUUGUAGGGAAUGUAUAGUAUGAUUUAAUAGUGUCAGCAACAAAUCCGUUGUCGUCCAGCGGUUAGGAUAUCUGGCUUUCACCCAGGAGACCCGGGUUCGAUUCCCGGCAACGGAGCUUUUUACCUCUCUUUUUUUUUUGCGUUAGAAAAAACUUAUAGUGCGUUCUUGGGGUUUAGGUGGUUUUAAUCUGCCGGUUAUGUUGCCGGCACGAGAUAUUUACUUAACAAGUGUUCAAUUAUAAUAAGCCUUUCAUUCUUUUUUUUUAUAGUCUUCGUGAAGAUGAAUCAUUGCAAUGAGGGAUAGUUAGGUAAAAUAUUCACAGAUUGAUAUAUUCAAGAGAAACAUGUCGUCCUCUUCAUGAAGACAAUAACACUUUCUAGAUGAUACACUAUUCACUUUUGUUCCCUGUGACUCUACUUUUGAGAACAUACAAUCAUCAAUUCAAUGAAUGAGUGAUCUGUUUUUCAACUUUCACCAAACCAGCAAGUGAAACACGAUGAACUCAAGGCUUUUGUCUAACGUCGUGAAGUUCGGGAUUUGAACCUGGAAGGUCUCUGCAACGAAAGAGGAAAUAAAAGGUUCAGUUUCAGACAUUUCUCCAGGGAGGUCAGGUGAGUCAAAAAAGAGAGUUUGAAACCGAAGAGAUGUACUUACUGUCAGAGAACUGAACUUGGCUCCUGAACCAGGUGAAGGACCUAAAGAGAAACAGAUAACACAACUUGAGAUUAAGACAAAGACAAACCUCUAUACAAACUGUAUCGUAUUAUGACUUUGUUGUACCUGCAAACUGUGGAGGCGUAGCAGGAUUUGAUGGAGAUGGCGGGCCAAACAAAGAUCCAGAAGCUGGUGGAGCACCGAAAACUAGUCUAACUGGUGUAGCAACGAGAGAAGACGAAGGUGCUGAAGCAGGUGUGUCAGGAAACAAGCCAGCUCCUGACCUUGGUAAGGCUGCAGGUGUUUGUGGAGCAUUUGAAGACCCUGGAGUCGCUGAGUUAUUAAUAAACCCAGUAACUUGUGUUCUUGUACUAGUAGCAACAGGUAGAUGGAGAGUUGGGUGGACCCUCUUAGCAGCAGCUUCCUGUUUCGCUGUUUCCCUUCGAUCAGCCUCAAGAAACGGAUCAUUGCAUUCUCCUCUCCGUCGCUGGUCAGCAAGAUACGCUGUUCUCAUCGAUUCAAUGUACUGGUGAAUAUUCUCUACCUGAAACACAACAAAAUUUAAAACCGCUUACACGUGGUUUCUAAACUGAAGGUUCAGGAUAACAAGUUAGUUACCUUAGCAGCCACAUGAACAAAGAAGGCAUGCACAUUAGACAUGACAUUCGGAAGAGAUUCCAAAACUAAAACAUGUCGAUUAUACUUGUCAGAAUCCAAAGCAAGUAACUGCUCCAGCUCCUCAACCCAUUGCCGGCACUGGCCAAGAUACUUCUCAAAUCUCACAACUGUUUGGAGAAGAAAAGCUGUAGGCUUCUUAGGGAUCCCACGGUAAAAGUAAGAAACUUGAACUGCUUGUUGUUCACCAGAGGAAGCUGGAGCUGAGUUAACUCCCUGCGCCUGAGGUUGCUGAGAAUCACCACCACUAACAACAACAGCUCCUCUUCCUCCUCCUCCUCCUGGUUUAGAACGUCGGGAUCUUGGCUGUAGCAUCAUGAAAGACCCAACAGCAACCUCUGAGUUACGAAACAUAUCUUUAACAGCCAACAUAAGCUCGUGGAGAACAGCUUUCUGUCUGUCCAUGGUAGUAUUAAUCCCACCAAGCUCCUACAAGUUUUAUAAAAGACUGAGAUAACUCACAAGAACAGUUCCUAUAUGAUAAUUAAGUGAAUCAUAAUCAUCUAAGAAACCUGAACAAUGCGGCUUGCAUCAAACCCAAAGCCUUCACUGGAUAGAGACAAAUCGUCAAGACGAUUGCAUUGAUCUAACCUCUGGCUUUCACUACUGUACUCCAGUAUCUUCUUUCUAAGGAUAUUCACACAAACAAUAAGAUCAAGGUAUCAUCAAAAGAUUCUAAAUCUAACGAACUACGUUCUUCAAGAUUUUGGCAAUUGAACAAAGAAGAGCAAUACUCAAUCUCAAGGAGAAGUUUCUGAGAAUCGGGAUGAAGAUCAGUCCAUUCGGUGCUGUAACUCGCCGGAGCUUGAUCGUUCGUGAACAAAUACAGCUGCUGCUGCUGGAACUGUUGCGGCUGAAACGACGGUGGUUGCUGUUGCUGCGGUUGCGGAUGAGAGAAGAAGGAGAUGCUCUGCGGCUGAGGCGUCUGUUGCGGAGUCUGAAACGGUGAUUGAGGUGUCUGCUGAUGUCGCUGUGGGGUAGAGAAUGGAUUGAACGACGACAUUGCUGGAUGAUCGACGGCUAACGGAAUCUAGGGUUCGUAUAUCGCCGGCGAGGACUUUGGAGUCGAGGGAAAGAUAUUCAAAAGCCCUCUUUAAACAACUGGAGGGAAAAUAUAUAAAUUAGUAUUUAAUGGCUUUAAUUCACGUUUUUAACAAACUGGAGGGCUCUUUUGCAAAUAAAGAAAUAUCUAAUGAACUGUCAACUAAAACAAAACUGUAAUGGCAUUGAAGAAGAAGCACACGAGGAUUUUGGAAUCUUUAACGAGUUUUAUUUUCUCUGUGGCUGCUUCUUGGCCCCGGUGACAAGUCGGAGAGCUUGGCUGGAGUUGUUGAGGAUUGAAGAUGAUCUAGGGACUUGUGCUUUACGCUUCUUUAAGAAAUCUAACCCUGUUUUCAAGCAUUCUGGUGGUGGAAUCUCCUUGUAUAACGUCUCAAUACUGCCACACACACACACACACACACAAGAGAGAGACAAUGACAUCAAAUCAAAUCAAAGAGUGGUUAUAGAGUUUGUAAGAACCACGAAGAUGAUCAUUACCCUGAGCUCUUUCGCUUUUUCUUUCUCGGGUGGUCUUUGUUGGCCUCCUCUUCUUCAGAAUCCGAACUGUUUUUCUGUCUGUAAACGAGAGAAAUUGUCAAUCUUAAGUCCAUUUUUCUUUAAGCACAAGGAAAAGGGAUAUAGAGUUUAUAUUACUUCUCCCGCUGUGCAAGAAAGUCAAUGAUGUUUUUGGAAAGGAACCCCUUGUUUGCCAGAGCUUCAGGGUCUUCCUCAUGCUCUUCUUCCUCUUCUAUAUCUUCGAAAGUUUCAACCUUUCGUGGUUUCCUUGGCGUUAUCUUCUCUGCUAAACGCCUUCGACUCUCUUUCUUCUCGCGGGCAACCCUACAGAAGAGAAAGCAAUCUCAUUUAAGUAAUCUAUAGAUUUCUAACUGAACAAAUUCCACAAAAAAAGAGCAAAGUACUAAUCUUUCAAGACAGUUACAUCUUCCUCCAUCAACUCCUAACCCAACACAAGCUUCAAAAGAGGGAAGGUGGUGAGAAUACAAACCUAGCCUUAUUCUCUCUCUCUAUCUUCCUCAAGGCUGCAUCUUCCAACUGUGCCUGAAAAAAAAAAGCAAAACCCAUUAGACGCUAAGCUAAUGCAAUUUCGACUUUACUGUUUCAGCUUAAUCCACAUAAAGACGGAAACAAUACCUGUUCCUCUGUGAAUUCCUCCGGUGCGCCGUCUGAGUCUGAGUCGGAGAUGUGGUCUUUGUUAUCUGACAUCUGAUUAUUAUCUUCUUCUUCUUCACCGGUGCUUUCUUCUCCGUCAGACGACGACACACACUAGGGUUUAACGGCUCUGCAAUUUCUCAAAAACAGACGAUUUCGAUUCUGAGAGUUAAUUAGUUGUUUUUCUCCUUUAUGGUGGAUUGCUAUUGGGCCCUUGUUACAGCUUUUGUAAGCCCAUUCAUUAAUCAAGCAACCAAAACUAGUUAUUCGAUUUAAAAUAACAACAGCUGGAAUAGCUCAGUUGGUUAGAGCGUGUGGCUGUUAACCACAAGGUCGGAGGUUCGACCCCUCCUUCUAGCGUUCUUUUUUAUGUUUCCUUCUAGUAUUUUUUUGUUUUUGUUUCAUUUCAUAGUUACCCAAAUCUGUUGAGUUUCACAUCUGGUAGAAUACUCACCUAGACACAUUAAUCCUCUAUGAAAUCAAGAGAGAGAGAGAGAGAGUUCUUGUUUGUUACAUGGAGAUCACACUCACAUUUUUUCUUUCUUGAAUACUGUCAUCCUACUGUCAAAAGUCGUUCAAAAAAAGAAUAGUGUCAUACUACUGUCAUCCUAAACAAUGAAGUAUUAUUGUGUGAAUCUGGACUAUAUACUUCUGUGUCUUCCUACAUAUUAAAUACUUUAGUACGUAACUUUCACAUGAAAGAAGUUUAAAGGCAAAAAAAAGAAGGUUAUAUACUAUCAAGCUGGCCCAAACACCCACAUGGUAUGAGACAAGAAUGCUAUCAGCAAAAAUGGCAAGAGACAAGAAAAAAACAAAUGAGACAAAAUCUACUCUAAAUUGUAUGAACAAAUAAAUGGUGUACACAUAUAAUAACAUUGCAGAUAAAACAAAUGAGACAAAGUCUAGUCUAAAAACAAAUAAAUGGUGUACACAUAUAUAUAGCAUUGUAGAUAAAAUCAAUUGAGAAUAAAUUGCUAUCACUCUAUAGUUUAUUCACUUUAUUGUAAAGAACACAAACAUAUGACUAUAUAUCUACUCUCAGCCAACCAAUAACAAAUUUUAACUUUUGCUCUACUUUACACUCUCCAACCCAAAUCUAUACAAGGUUCCACUUCCACAUUUUUGAAACAUUAUUAUCAUUACAAAUCAUCAAACCUUUUUUUCAUUGAUGCAAAAGCAACCUGAAACUGAAGUCAUAUGGUACUACUUGAACCAACUCCAUGAGUGAUUCUUCGUUCUUUCUUUCCACACACUUCAGAGCUUCUUCUCUGAGUUUAUCAGGCAACUGAAGGCAAACCCAAUCUAACAAAGAUUCCACAUCUUUUGCAAAAUCUAGCAAAUACCAAUCUAAUACCUUUGGAAUCAUUAGUUUGUUCCUCUUUGAGAUCCAUACAGAUGCUUGAAGAUAAUCCCUCUUUGCAGCUUCUAGCUCUUUUUCUACACUUGUUGCUGUAUAAAUCCUUACCUUAAUACCAAAAACAAGUUGUGUGUGAAAAUGCUAUAAACUUUUCCAAAUUUGAGUGUGUAUGAUUCUAAAGCACAACUUACAGCAGGAGAAGACCAGCUUCCACAGGAGAGAGCAAAAGUGACCAAAGGUUCUGACCAUUCCAAUCCAAAUGUGCUAUGAGCUUUCAUCUCUUCAUGUGUUGCAGUUUUGGGACAAUUCUUUUUAAGAGAAUAAGAUAAUAAGCAUUAAAUUCGGAGUCAGCAUAGAAAAAUGAAAGAGAAGAAGAUAAAAGAAACUUACAAACUUUAAGUGAUAUGGAAGUCUCAAGAUGAAGUGUUCAAUUGUGAUAGCAUUAAGUGAGUGUCCUCCUACAACUAUUAUUGCCUGACACAAGAAAGAGAAGAUGAAUCUAAGAAACAGGUAACACACAUUUAAGCACAAUGGUUUCAAGUUUCGGUUUUAGAGUAUAAACCUUUUGCAUAAGGGCAACAACCAUCUCAGGGGUCUGAGGGAUCCCAUGCUCCAAGAAACCCUGCGAAGAUUAAUUGCAAACAAGACAUCAGCCUUCUUUAACAACAUCUUACAAACAUGUCUUUCUAUCUAUCAUACUAAGAAGUCUCACAUUCAUCACACAUGAGUUAUAAGUAUUUAUCCAGAAUGCAAGCUUCUGCUGGUGGCUAAGACCGUCUAGAUUUACACCUGAAAGCUUAUUAAGCAGGAACCUGUAGAUAGGAACAGUUACACAAACAUGAGUUUAGAGUAUUCAAUUUUAAUCAUUCUAAGAAGACUUUCACAGUUUCAUGUCAUUUGUUUAGGCGAGAUGAGAUACUUACUUGAGACGAUGGAUCAGAAAUAAAGCAUUGAUUCUUCUCCCAAGAUCAAUGGAAGAUGCAUCAACAGAGCAAAGAUUCUUGUAUGCACCAAGCUCUCUUGUUCUCCAUUCUGAACAGUUACUAUAUGGAUCCAACACAAUGUCCUUGGACGAGAUAAUCCUCAAGAUAAUACUCACCAGGCAUCUCAGUAAAUCCUCUGAAACUCUGUUUGCUGCAGUUCCACUUUGCAGCGGUUCCGAGACACUCUCAUGUGCCUUGUCUUGGUCUGCUAAUCUAUCAUCUAGCUUAUUCAAAGUUUUCUUAAGUCUCUUCUCAGGUGAUUCUUUGUCCUUCUUGUCUUUUAAACCGUUACUAGAGGUCUGAUUCUCUUUCCCUCUCACAUCAACUGGCUUAGUAACAACACUGCUUACAUUUGGUUUAGGCGAUGCUUGUUUGUCAUUAACUGUCUGAUCAGAGGAGAAGAGUUUCCUACUUGAGAUGCUUCUGCUAGGACUAAGAGACUGUUGAUGCUUUUUAGGAGGAGUGAUCAUAGAUUUCAACUCAUGUUGUGACUUGGAUUUAGAUCUCUGGUGUUUAGUGCUUCUAACGGGAGAAUUCUCGUUCAGACCGUUACUCUUGGAAGAAAUGUAAACAGCUUCUUGGUAUAGACCUUGUCUGAAGCUAACAACUUGCUCUUCUAACCGAACUACUUCCUCUUCAAGAACAGCUACUUCAGCAAGAAGCUCCAGUGUCUUUAUCAGAUAAAGAAACAAGAUUCAGAUACAAAGAAGCUCCAGUUUGAUGAUAUUAAUAUUUUGGAUCUUACAUGUCGAGGGAGAUAAGAGGGAAGACGAGGUAAAGCUCCUAAAGGUCUAGUGAAAGCUCUCUCCAAUGCUCUAUGCACAUUCUCCUCUUGUCUCAGCUUCCUCUUUAGCUUAUCAACCUGAUCACAAAAAAAAAAAAAAUUAGAUGCGAUUCAUCAUCAAAUCAAGAAAGUUGUUUCUCAAGAACUUGUCAUCAUACAUCUUGUAGCAAAUCCAUUUUCUUUUCUUUGUUAGCUCUGCGCCGAUUAGCUAAAGUUUCAUUGCCUUGGGACACCAUCUUCUUCUUCUUUUCCUCCUUUGCGGAUUUCAGAAUACCACCAAACAUUACUCAUAUAGAACAAAAAGGAGUUUGUAAAGAAACUAUUGAUAGUGGAAAACAACAAACAAUCUUCUAGAUAACAAUUGAGUAUCUAUCACUUUCAAUGUGACCAGUAACUUCACUAAGAAUAACUAUUCUAUUAGUAGGAUAGAAAAUAAGCAAAGAUUUUGUUGUGAAAUAGUCCAAUGUUGAAGCCAAGAAUCUUAAAGAGAUCACCAAGAAAGCAAUCAAAAUUGGGUUCAGAAGAAUGGAAAGUGGUAGAGAGAGAGAAAGAAGAAAAGUUACUUGAGUGGUGACAUGCUUCGAAGGAGCUUUCAUGGAGGAAAAACCAGCUCGAACACUAGUGUUCAUCGCUUAUCUUUCUCUCUCUCUCUCUCUCUCUUCAACUAUUGCUUUCUCUCUACUCUAACUGUGAUAUAAACCCAAGAGAGAGAGAGAGAGAGACCACAUCAAGAUAAAAAAAAAAACAAAACAUAGAGACAGAAGUAAAAAGAAAGAUAAGAGUUAAAUGUUUUAAGUAUGUGUCUGUAAUAAAAAGUGUAGUACUAGCUCUUUGAUAUAUGAAGACAGAGCGGGGAAACUUGAAGGUAAAGCGACCAAGAAGAAGCAGAGAAUUGGUUUUAGUUGAAGCUUUGUGUUUCCCAAAGAACUACCAUUGUUUUUUAUUUAAUCCAUAUAAUGUAUAGUUGUUGUAUGUAUAGAUGACUUUGGUCAUAUAAUCUCGAACAGAGCAAGGAAGAAAGUCAAGACACCACAGAAUCUCUCAUUGGAUGUGAAGAAGUAGUAGAUAACGACUUGAUAUCAACCAUUUAUGAUGUCUUUAGAUUUAGAAAUUGUGAGAAAUGAAAAGUAUACUUUCUAGGAGUUGAAUGAAGGAUGUAAGAUCUGAGUUAGUGAGGAGUUCUUGAGCUAGCUGGUUGGAAAUUGUGAGAGAUGUGGACAACCAUAAAGAAACGACUUCUUUUGUCACUUAUUAAUUAAAAUUUGGUAUUUAGUGGCUUGGUGCUUUCGUUUUCUCUCAAUCUUUUCAGUUCUUUCAUUUAUUUCAUUUCAGUAGAUUUUUUUUAAAUGAAUAAUAUAAUGGUCCCAAAUAGAAUGAUUUAUUUAUUUUUUAAUUAAAAACCUAUUUGUGAAUUUUGCUUUACAUUUCUAAAUCUGAAAUGCAUCAUUUCAAAGUCAAUCUCAUUUGCUAAUUAGUUUAACUGGAGCCGAGCUUAUAAAUAACCAAUUGAUUAUGGACUAUAUUUAACGUUUAAGUAAUUGAUUUGUAAUAAGUUAUGCAGGCUGCCUGUACUUAAAUACAAGUGUGUUUUCAGAGUUAAAUUAUGAUGCCUUUUAGAGAAAGCAAAGAUAACGUGCUUAUUAAUUAUGAUGUUAGAAGAAAAUAAAUAAAAAGGUAAAAACUCUAAAGGUGCUGACAUCUCCCUAGUAUAACCUUUUUAACAUUUGAUUAUUUUUCUUGAUCAAACAUUUGAUUUUUCAUUUCUCGCUUCUUCUGCUGUCAAAACGGGUGAUUCGCAUCAAAAAGGAGAGUGGUAGUAUGUUAUUAUACCAUCAAUAAUUUGAUUAUUUUAAUCAACUAACAACGCUGUUAUAUAAUUAUUAAUUAAUGAUAAGAAAAGAACCAGUGGAUUAGGUAUAAAUUAUGAACGUAAGUAAAUGAUACUUUGGCAGAUUCAAUCAAGCAUUAGCACGUGACAAAGCUAACUUCGCUUUAUAACUCAUACUUCCACUUUCAAGUGGACCAACCAUUCUCUAUGUAUGCAUAUAGUACAUAAUUUAACUUCCUUCCAUGUUAUCACAUUCUAGUGACACAAUUCUAUGUUUUUAUACCAAAAAAAUGGGCGUAUGUUUUACGGUUAUCUGCUUGUUCAGCUUAUCUCGUUAAUUCCUUUGUAACAAUAUGCCAUUGCCAGCUCAGCUGUUGUUAACCCAUAUAAGCAUGGCUCUAAAAGAAUGAAUACUAUUUUUAAUGGGUAUAGUUAAUAACUAGAUAGCAUGUACACUACAAAAGGUCGACGUCUUUAUUUCCCAAUAUGUAAAUCACAUCUUUCACAUAUAUUAUUAUGUCCAUUUCCAUUUAAAUCGAAUAUUUGAAAUGUAGCUAAUAAACUCAUCCGAGAUAAGAACAAUGACAACUCAUUUACAAAUUAUAAUCAUUACCACUACAAUCAUUCUUGUAUGAUCAUAACAUGCUAUUUGUAGACCUAAUAAAUAUAUUAGAUAACACAUAAUUGUUUGCCUCUUGCCUCUUCUCAUCACAUGCCAUCAAUGGAUCUAUGUGGUGCUGAUAGUAACGUAUAACCAUGACGUCUCAUAAAAGGAUCCUAACGCAAUCAAAAACAUAAACUUGCUCAUGUGAAUUUGUAAUUACGUAUAAGGUAACAUUUUGGACCUAUAUAGCUCCUUUUCCCUUUCUCUGUAUUGUUACCACAAUUAUACACAUCAAGUCAGCUCAUAUCCAUUGAUCGGUCCCCAAGUUUUCAAUGAUUGGUCAAUUUUUUCUUCAUUUUGAUAGCCAUUGUGGUCCAAUAAGACAAGUGAAUAGGGUCCAACUAGGGCUAACGUACGUGGUAAAUCGCAUGUUCACUAUCACUUAUGAGCGCAUGCAAGUGAAAGUACAUGUCAAAACAUUACGCCAUAUAUAUACACUUGUUUAUAUUUUCUUUUUGUCAAUGACAAUAUAUAUAUACUGUGCUAUAUACAAAACAAAUAGCCUUUUUAUCGACAGCAUAUUUUGUCAAAAACUGUUUGUUUUGUAUCAUUAGGAUUUAGUCAGCCUAAAGAGUGUUUUUGUGUCAGAUUUUUUUUUCUGAUAAAACAUUAAGGUUACAACUAGAAUACAACAUACAUGGUAAGUAGCUUCGUUAAAAAUGUACAUGCAAACCAAAACUACUUAAUUGGUUAUACCAAUGCAAUGUUCUAAACUCAGUAUAGUCAGCGCCUAAACGAUUUUAUUUUUAAAAUGGUUACAGAUGGCACAUUUCCAAAAUCAGUAUAGACAGCGUUUAAAGACUACUCUUCUAUAAAAGGCCUAAUCACCAUUUAGCAACUUUUUAAAACAUUGGAACAUAUACAAUAAAGAAGUUCAAGGUCUCCUAAACCAAUACUACUUAAUUUGCAAAGGUUCUGUGAGAAGAAAUGAACUUCAGAGAAUCAAGAUCUCCUAAACUCUAAACUCUAAAUGUGAUUUUUUGGCUCGUACCUAAAGUAAUCUGUAACAGAGAUUCACUAUACUUUGCGAGCAAAAGAAUAAUUGAAUAUGAAUAUGAUUUUCAUACAUACAAUUUGACUUUGUAUUCCACUUUAAUAAAGAUCAAUAUGAGACAUAUUUGGGAAUCAAAUUUCUAACAGUUGGUUAAUAUCUCAGCUCCAUGUUUGGUUAUAAGAAUGGUAUGCUCGAACUGCGCAGAGAGACUUGCAUCUUCUGUUAUCACGGUCCAAUCAUCAUCCCACAUAACCGGUUUUAUGCUUCCUACCGUAAGCAUCGGUUCUAUGGUGAAGGUUUGAUUCAACACCAUGCGUCCAGCUUCAUUGUUCCCUGUAGAGCAGAUGCAAGUUUAGAAAGUAUGUGAAUGACCACAAAGCAAUUCAACAAGAACAAACUUACGGAAGUGAAGAACAACAGGAUCAGAAUGGAAGACACGUCCAAUACCAUGGCCUACAAACUGUCUAACAACUCCAUACUUAUGUUUAUCUGCAUGAUCACUUGAUAAAGAUAUGAUUUUUCAAUAUGAAGUAGAUGAAUAAACAAAUACUAAUUGCUCAAAGGGAAUCAGUCUCUUACUGAAUGGUUUUGCCGAUUUUCUUGUACUUUACUCCAGCUCCACAUAUUGAUAUCGCUUUGUCUAGAGACUCCUUUGUCACCUACACCACACUCAAAGUCAUAAAACUCUCAUCAAACUAUUAUUAUAAACCAGAGUUUUCAUAGAACUGAUUGUACCUGGACUAGCUUUUUAGCUUUCUCGUCGACAUCUCCACAGAAGAAAGUAGCUGAAGUGUAACGGCCCGGUUCCUAGCCCAAAAAUUUAUUAAGGAGAGCCCGUUAAGACUGCAGUCCAUUAGGGUAAAUGACCUAGGGUUUCCUCCUUUUCCUAUAAAUGAAGCUGCCUCCUCUCACUUUUCUCUCAUCCUGAAACCUAAGCGAAGCUCUGCAGAGAUUUAGAGAGACUAGGAAACCCUAGCCGUCAAGCUUCUCUUUUCCUCUUCUCUCUUCUUCUCUCAAGCCUCUCUCUCUCUCCCCUGCGCCGUGUCUCUCUCUCUCUCCUUCUCUCUCUCUCUCCUUCUCUCUCUCCUCUCUCCCUCCUCCUCGCCGGUGUCAUGUGGUGGUGGUGGUUGCAGCCGAUUGGUGGUGGUGGUCAGAUCUCGCAGCUCUUUUGUUUCCUUGUUCCAGAUCUGUUCAGAUCUCCUCUCCCUUGCCUCUUGUUCCAGAUCCAGAUCUAGGCUAAGGUGGAGUGUUUCAAACCCAACCUUCUUUCAUGGUCCUGUAUACUCCUAUAUGUUGGGGUUAGGUUUGAUUAGACCCUGUUUGGGAGUUAGGUUGAUAGUACAUGGUAUUGCUAGGAUGAUAGAUGAAUGGAUCAUGAUGCAUAAGAACCCUCAUAUUGAUAAAUGGGACUUGAUGAACUGAAUUGAAUUGUUGUGGUAAUGGCUGAUUGGUAGUUGAUUCUUGUAUGUUUGGUUGUGUUGUCCCAUGUGUGGUUGUGAUUGAAGUUAGGAUGCUAGAGAGAAAUAAAUGCUAGGAUGAUAGAUGAGCAAUGAUUAUAAAAGUUAUUGAAGUAGAACUUGAAUGCAAUGUGUAUUGUGUGACACCGAUAACGGGUGGCGUCUAGUGAUUGAGUCCAAGUACAAGUAGGAAUGAAAAGGGAAGUAAUUGGGAAUGGGAAGGGUUAGGUGAAAACGAUAAGGAAGUGAAAGGAUAAGUAAAAGUAUGAAAGAAUGUUGUUAAGGUUAAGCAUGGGUGGGAAAGCAUAUAGAGAGUCUAAGGAAAGUAGGUGGGGUAAGUAGUCCACGCUAGGUAUCCAUAGGAGAUGUGGCGAAUCCACAUGAAUAUGGAAGCACCCAUAGGAGAUGUGGCCAAUCCACAUGAAUAUGGGGUAGAAGCCUAGUGGGGGGCUACCCACUGAGGAAAAGAGGAAAAGAUGAAAAGAUGAAAAGAUGAAAAGGAUAUGCAUUGUAGGGUUCUAGCUCAUGGUCGGGUACAGGAAGUUAAAGAAGUCAUAGGAUCGAGUCGGACUGGUAAGAUGAGUCGGUUAAGUCUAGGGAUGGCGUGUGUGGCAAUGAGUGAGAUCAUUGUAUUGAUUGAUUACUAGGUUGUUAGAAAUGAAUGGAAGUGUGUGUAGAAAUUACAGAUGGUGAUAGGAAAUGAUAAAAUGCAUUAACGGAUUGUAGUGGCUAGUCAGUCCUAGUUCCCGCAUAGAGUAGUAUAGAGUGUCGUGCGGGCAGGCUGGUCUAGAGCCACUUCACUGAGUAACUUGUUGCUCACCCCCUCCAUUUCCAUUUUUUCCCUGUGCGCAGGACUGUAAGUAGAAGUAUAUGGAUGUGGGUGUGACGGUAUUUCAAAGAAGGUUAUGCGCUCGUCUCUCGGGACCAGUAACGGGACACGUAGGGUUGUCUAAAUGAGUAGACACGUGUCCAUAACGCCCCUUCGAUAACCCCGGUCGGACGCCGGGGGAUCGGGCUGUUACAAUUGGUAUCAGAGCGGGUUAAGAUCCCUUAGUUCCGUCCUAAGGGAUCAGCAUUUCCGACGUUUAAAAAAAAAAAAAAAAUUGUUUUCAUUAAAAGAAAAGAGUUUGUGAAAGUUUUGAUUCUCCUAAAAGUUCUGAAAACGAUUUCAAAACCACCCACUAUAUUUAUACUUCUAGUAUGGUUCUGAUCGGAUGUCUACUUGAAGGAUGUCUUCGACAAUCAGUAACGACCAGAGUGACAAUUACGGGUAUCGUGGACCUGCAUGGUGGAACUCGAUCUACACUCGGACUCAGCGCACCAUAAAGGAAAAUGUGGUACCCUAUCGGUGACGCCCAUUGACGAAGUUUCAUCGCCAGACACAUGAGUUGGAGUGGUUGGAGAAAAACCAGAGAUGGAAACCCGACUAAUGUAACUACCGAGAACGUGAAGGUUGUGGCGGAUAUCAUGGGUUUAGAGGAACAUUAGAGGUGCAAUGAAACAAGAUGAAGUCAUAGGUCAAUGAAGGUAUUUUCCGAGGAAGGACAUAUAUCUAAUGGAGGGCUAGUUCUAGGAUAUCCGCCAGAGAGACAUGAUUGGAAGGGAAUACAAUAAGGAUGUAACCCCUGAGGAGAUUUAUCGGGCUACCUGGAUAGGACCGAGGGAGUAUAGAGAAUGAUAACCAUGGGAGUGUAUGUGGUACUGUUAAUACCUCUCGACGGUGUGAACCUGCAUGGAGACCUGCUGGAGUUGGAGUUUGGAAUGAUAUGAAGUGACAGAAUUUUGGGAUGCGUAUUUAGAGAUGUAGCAGUGUUCGGGGAUGUUGCAGUAUGUUAGGAAUAGUAUCAUGGCUUAGCGAGAAUCUAUACAGAGGUCAAAGAUUAAUGAAUAGGAAGGGAGCUAGGAAAGAAGACCGGGGCCAAGCACAUGGAGUUAAUAUAUUGUAUUGGCACGUACUCAUAAUCCUCGAUAGGAGAGGAGAGUAGUCCUUAAUGGAAUAAGGAUUAGGACAUGGAUAUAAGCUAUCUUGAUGUUGAAAGCUGAAGGGUUAAGUGGAAAGGAAAAUGAUUUGUAUUUGGAAGUGAAAGCUCUAAGUAUUGGAUAUCCCCUAUGAGAACUAUAUGAACAAUCAUGUUGAAUCCCUUAUGCUGGACCAAAGUGGGGGAGAUCAGAAUCUCGAGCCUGAGAUGAUCCAUGAAACCGCUUAGCAGAUAUAAUUGUUGAUGAUGAGCUGCUUUAUUAAAGGAUAGAAGAGGUACAUGACCAUCAGAGAAUUACGUCGACAAGAGUGGUGGUGAUAUGGAAAUGCAUAUGAGAAGGAAGCAAUCUAGGGAUGAGAACGCUGUUGGGGAAUCGAUUUGGGAUUUAAGAGGACGUUGGAUCUCCGUGAGGAAUAUGGAACCUGGUCUGUUGCAUGAACUAUUAGAUUUCAAAGGACGAGUUGUUUACCCAUUUUGGUUCGGGAUGUUAAAGUUGGAGUAUCGACACACGGAAUUCGGGGACGAAUUCCAUUCAAGUGGGGGAGAAUUGUAACGGCCCGGUUCCUAGCCCAAAAAUUUAUUAAGGAGAGCCCGUUAAGACUGCAGUCCAUUAGGGUAAAUGACCUAGGGUUUCCUCCUUUUCCUAUAAAUGAAGCUGCCUCCUCUCACUUUUCUCUCAUCCUGAAACCUAAGCGAAGCUCUGCAGAGAUUUAGAGAGACUAGGAAACCCUAGCCGUCAAGCUUCUCUUUUCCUUUUCUCUCUUCUUCUCUCAAGCCUCUCUCUCUCCCCUGCGCCGUGUCUCUCUCUCUCCUUCUCUCUCUCUCUCCUUCUCUCUCUCCUCUCUCCCUCCUCCUCGCCGGUGUCAUGUGGUGGUGGUGGUUGCAGCCGAUUGGUGGUGGUGGUCAGAUCUCGCAGCUCUUUUGUUUCCUUGUUCCAGAUCUGUUCAGAUCUCCUCUCCCUUGCCUCUUGUUCCACAUCCAGAUCUAGGCUAAGGUGGAGUGUUUCGAACCCAACCUUCUUUCAUGGUCCUGUAUACUCCUAUAUGUUGGGGUUAGGUUUGAUUAGACCCUGUUUGGGAGUUAGGUUGAUAGUACAUGGUAUUGCUAGGAUGAUAGAUGAAUGGAUCAUGAUGCAUAAGAACCCUCAUAUUGAUAAAUGGGACUUGAUGAACUGAAUUGAAUUGUUGUGGUAAUGGCUGAUUGGUAGUUGAUUCUUGUAUGUUUGGUUGUGUUGUCCCAUGUGUGGUUGUGAUUGAAGUUAGGAUGCUAGAGAGAAAUAAAUGCUAGGAUGAUAGAUGAGCAAUGAUUAUAAAAGUUAUUGAAGUAGAACUUGAAUGCAAUGUGUAUUGUGUGACACCGAUAACGGGUGGCGUCUAGUGAUUGAGUCCAAGUACAAGUAGGAAUGAAAAGGGAAGUAAUUGGGAAUGGGAAGGGUUAGGUAAAAACGAUAAGGAAGUGAAAGGAUAAGUAAAAGUAUGAAAGAAUGUUGUUAAGGUUAAGCAUGGGUGGGAAAGCAUAUAGAGAGUCUAAGGAAAGUAGGUGGGGUAAGUAGUCCACGCUAGGUAUCCAUAGGAUAUGUGGCGAAUCCACAUGAAUAUGGAAGCACCCAUAGGAGAUGUGGCCAAUCCACAUGAAUAUGGGGUAGAAGCCUAGUGGGGGGCUACCCACUGAGGAAAAGAGGAAAAGAGGAAAAGAUGAAAAGAUGAAAAGAUGAAAAGGAUAUGCAUUGUAGGGUUCUAGCUCAUGGUCGGGUACAGGAAGUUAAAGAAGUCAUAGGAUCGAGUCGGACUGGUAAGAUGAGUCGGUUAAGUCUAGGGAUGGCGUGUGUGGCAAUGAGUGAGAUCAUUGUAUUGAUUGAUUACUAGGUUGUUAGAAAUGAAUGGAAGUGUGUGUAGAAAUUACAGAUGGUGAUAGGAAAUGAUAAAAUGCAUUAACGGAUUGUAGUGGCUAGUCAGUCCUAGUUCCCGCAUAGAGUAGUAUAGAGUGUCGUGCGGGCAGGCUGGUCUAGAGCCACUUCACUGAGUAACUUGUUGCUCACCCCCUCAAUUUCCAUUUUUUCCCUGUGCGCAGGACUGUAAGUAGAAGUAUAUGGAUGUGGGUGUGACGGUAUUUCAAAGAAGGUUAUGCGCUCGUCUCUCGGGACCAGUAACGGGACACGUAGGAAUGUCUAAAUGAGUAGACACGUGUCCAUAACGCCCCUUCGAUAACCCCGGUCGGACGCCGGGGGAUCGGGCUGUUACAUGAAGUAUCACCGUUAUAACCCUGUAGAGACCAAUACAACAAGCAUCAGAGAGUAAACCUAGUGAAGGAUUGUGAAACACGCAAAAGAAGACAACUUACGUUUAAGUAAACCGUGACAUCAAUGUUGAUUAUAUCUCCAUCCUGCAAAGUUCAAACAUGGAUACAACAUUUUAUUAACGAUUCACAAGUAAAAGACACUCAAACACACACACAAACACACCUCAAGUGGUCGUGAAUCAGGGAUGCCAUGGCAAAUGCAUUAUGCAUUCACUGACAGAAGUGCAAACACUUUUAGGGAAACCUCCAUAGCCAAGUGGAGAAGGAUAAGCUCCAUUCUCUAUAAUCAUACUGUGAACCGCUUCAUCAAUCUCAUCCGUGGUUACACCUGGCUGUCUCUCAAAACAGAAAACAAAACAAAACUGAUGAUUGUUCUGUAAGAGUGGGAAAACAAUUAAAAGUAUCCGCAAAAAAAAAACAAAAAAAAAACACAUUUCAUAAAAAAACACAUUUUUCGGUCAAACCAAUAAAACCGCACUCUUCGACCAAAACGGUAAAAACGAACUUUCAUGUCAAAAUCGUAAAAACGCAUUUUCCCGGCAAACCGCAAAAUAGCAAAAAUGCAUUUUCCUGCCAAAACCGCAAAAACACAUAUUCUCGCAAAAACAGAAAAAACGCAUAUCUCGCCAAAACCGCAAAAAUGCAUUUUUCCGCCAAAACCGCAAAAAACGCAUUUUUCCGCCAAAACCGCAAAAUACAUUUUUUCUCCAAAAUCGGAAAACAUAUUUUCCCGCCAAAACCGGAAAAAACAAUUUUCCACCAAAACCGGUAAACGCAAUUUUCCCGCCUAAACCGAAAAACGCAAUUUUCCCGCCAAAAUCGAAAAAAAACAGUUUCCCGCCAAAACCACAAAAAUGCAUGUUCCCGCCAAAACAUGCAAAACCGUAUUUUCCUGUCAAAACCACAAAAAUGCAUUUUUCGUGAAAACACAUUUUCGGCAAAAACUGCAAAAAAAUAUUUUCUGCCGAAAACGCAAAAAUACAAUUUUUCCGUUAAAAAUGUAGCAAUGCACAUUUUCUAUCAAAAGCGCGAAAAUGCAUUUUUCUGCCAAAACCAUAAAAAUGUUAUUUUUCUAUCAAAACCUAAAAAAUAUAUUUUAAUCAUUUUAUUAA